AAUUAUAACGAUUUUUCUGAGAAGCUCUAUAUUAAUACCAUGUCAGCAGAAAUUACUAAAGUGACUUCUCUUUUAAUGUAUAGGAGGAUUUGGUUUUUCUGUUUUUCAUAUUGUUCACCAUGUUUUAAGUGUUGCAUGAAAUUAAAUUUGGUUGUAUUGUUUGAAAUCAUUAUUUGUAAUACAUUAGUUUGUUUGAAAAAUCAGAAGAAUUCACACAAUAUUUUUGUAUUUGUACGUGUGAAUGUGAGCUCGUACACAUAUUCACACACAUCAAACCCCAAGUUUCACAGAUUAAACAUGAACUUCAGUGACCCGCAGAUGGAUUUGUUAGCAACUCGAGUGACGUCUUCAGAUGUUCUACAGCCGUAGUAAAGACUUCAUCGAAAGCUUGAAAUAAUUGGAUAACCACCUAAUAAGCUUUCUUUCAUUGUUGAUCAGGACAAUAAUGUCGAGAUGAUCCAAGACCAGGUAAGAGUCAUCAUCAUCAUCAGUACUAUCACUCACUCAAGGCCACUCUGUGUUCUCAGUUCCUGUCCUUAGUUUCUGGUUGGAUUAGACCAUCCAAAACUUAAAUUUGUGUCUGAUUAAUAUUAUCUAUAACCUUAAUUUCCCUAAUGCAAGUCAAGAUUGAAGAAGCUCAACUCAGCCUCAUGAAGAUACAUAAAACAGACACAGAAACAGGACUUCCCUUGCAAGGCCAUGUCCAGCAACUUAUGGUAGAUCUUGUUUCAUCCAAUAAAUAACCAAACGACAAGAGUAAACUAUGGUGUUAAUUUAAAAAAAAAAAAGUGUAGCAAAAUAUAUGAAAACCAGCUGAGUUCCUUUCAGGCAUCAGACUCUUUCUUGUCUUCUUCGCUCUCUCCUCCUUGAGUAACACCAACCUCGGCUGGUCUUAUAACUCGAUCAAACAACGUGUAUCCAGACUGUACAUAUCAACAACCAAUCGUUACUAAUUGGUGUUAAGAGACUAUAGAAUAUGGAACAACAACAGAGAGAGAGAGAGAGAGAGAGAGAGACAAAGAAAAGAGCAAGUUUUACCUUCAAGACAUGAGCAACUGUGCCUUCUGGCUUAGAAGCAUCAGGGACUUGGAACACAGCGUUAUGUCUGUUCGGAUCAAACGGCUCGUUGAUAGGAUCAUACUUCUCCAUACCAAAUUUCUUAAACACUUCAGCAAGCUGUUUCUCAGUCAUCUCCACACCUUCUAAAAGUGUCUUCAAGAGCGGAGCAGCUCCAGCGGAGUCCUUCGAAGUGUCGUCAAGCUUUGAGAAGCUUUCUUUGACAACGGAAGAAGCUCUUCCAAGAUUAUCCGCCACAUCCAAAAGGCUUUUUGCAAAAUUCUGCAGGUAUAUAUAUAUAUACAUAUUCUCUCAGCACACUGUUACAUGAAGCAAAAGAAGCUACUUGUAGAGACUAACCUGAAUAGCAUACUUUUUGGUGUUUUCAGCAUCACGCCGUGUUCUGUCCAUGACAUUCUCCAUCUCUGCGUAAGUGCGGAGAACUUUAUCUUUCAUUUGCUUAAUCUCUUGCUCUUUCUCCGACAAAAGCUCGUCCUUCUCAGCUACAAGCUUCACCAAAUCAUCCAUUGACAUCUCCUCCUCAUCAGCAUCACUCUCGGAAUCUGACUCAGAAACUGCAGCUCGUUUAGCACCUUUCCUCCUCCUCGAAUCUUUGGAGGGUUCUGAGUCAACACCUGACUCGUUUGCCUCAGAUGUAGCUUUCUCUUCACUAGCCUUCGAGGCCUCAGCGUUGCUCUCCUUGUCACUUGAUUCAGGAGUGGUGGAGGAAGAAGAAAAAGAGAACCUUUGAAGUGGAAAUGAAUCAAGAAACACCUGAGCUGCAACAAGCUGCCCCUGAAACGGCUGCAAAAAGGGUGAAUCUCAGUCAGUGAAAUAACAUAGAGCAAACAGCAUAUACAGAGAGAGAGAGAGAGAGAGAGAGCAUCUAGUCAUUGUCUACAUACAAUUCGGAAGAUUCAAACAAAUGAGAUCAGCGAAAACAGUAUCAGAACCCUUAAACCCUAGCAAAACCCUGAGAUGAAAUUAUUCGUUACGAAUAAUGAUGAUAAAAGUCUUUGAGUAACCUUUUGAGAGAAGUCGUGAACGAGGGACGAGAAUAUAGGAGCUUGGCUCCUCGCCGGAAGAUCGGCGGCGGCGGAGAGAGNNNNNNNNNNNNNNNNNUGGCUCCUCGCCGGAAGAGCGGCGGCGGCGGAGAGAGAGGAGCGUAAGCCCAAGCCCGCGCUACGGGAAACUGGCGAGAGGAUUCUCGAAACCAACAUCAGGGAAUGCAGAGGGAAACAAGCUGAGAUAAAAAAGGAGAAAGAGUUUAUAAUCCAAAUCGAAUUUUUGAGGUAAAUGGUUAUUUCUAGAGCGCACACAGACGUGGUUAGUGUGGAGAAGAGGGGACGGAUCUCUCUCUCUCUCUAUAUGUUUGUUUACGUAGAUACCCUCACUGAUGCACGACGGGUAAAUGAGCUUGUGAGGGUAUUAUUGUCAGUCGAGAUUUGAGAACCGUCUAGAAUCAAACCCAGCCGUCCUUGUAUUGUUUUGGACAGGCAAAGUCCACACCUCUUUGGACCAAAUGUAUUCCAAUGUAACUCAACACUAUUAGAACAAGUACCAAACUAGGCAACUAGCCAGUGUUGAAGGUUAAGCCUUACUUUACUUAAAAAUUCGACUUUGGGGGCUUUGGUGAAAUGCAACUUGAUAAGAUCAGAAGGAACCUCCACUCGCUGCUUCCCAAGCAAAAUAUUCUUCAGCUUUUCAUCACAACUCACCACAUUCUUGUUCUUCGGAUCCUUUGCAGAAACAUAAAACCAAUUAGUCAGUGAUACCCAAAAAAACGUCUUUACCAAAUAAAUAAACGAUUCCUUGUUCUAACCUGAAGAUUGUUGAUCUUGAUUCUUGAUAUAUAUACGUUAGUCGAAUACAUGUGUUGGUUGGGCUACUUGUGAUUAGUGGGCCGAGGUAUAUCCACGACACUUCAAUUGAUAUUAUAUGAUGGCAUAUAUUUGUAAGGAAUUAAUAUCUUUGCUGACUAACAGUAUCAUUGCCUUAAUUCCAUAUCUUGGAAAAUAUCAAUUCUUCCGAUUUGUUUCUCAAAAUCAAUUAAAAAUAAAGUUGUUAGCGAUAAAUUAGUCAAGUCAUAUCAUAAGUCAUCGACAUCAUACAAUCCUAACAAAUGUAACAACAAACAAAUCUACGAUUAUUGUAGAUCUCAAUUUCAACGAUUGUACUCAACUAACCCUAAGGAAACACAGGAACACGUACACGACAAUCUUGUCGAUCAUCAAACGUCAAGCCCCAACUCUUUGUCUUAUUGAGUUUAUCAUCAUCAUCAUCAGUAGACAACAUAGCACUCACGUUCUUGCAAACAGCCGUCAUGUUCUGCUUACCCCAUACAGUAGAAGCUACCGGAUAAAACCCUACCCUCCCUAGAAACACCAUAUCAAGACCUACCACACUUCCCGUCAACGCCACAUCCUCCUCCAUUCCCCGAGCCGCCUCUUCAUCGAUAACUCCGGUUUCAUCUCCCUUCACAGCUACCUCGUUCCCUUCCCCACCGCUCUGCCCGAACGCCCCUAUUCUUACCGUCCCCACGUGUUUUCUCCUGUGAAACACACACACCGAGGGACUCUCGUACGUUACACGGAGUUUAUCGUUGGGGUUUUUGAUAGAGAACGUUGCUGACCAGAUUGGGAGAUGACGUUCGUUGAAUGCUAUAUGCAUGGAGUGUAUGUGAACGGUUGGUGGGGUUGGUGUGAUCAGUAUGAUUAACGCGAUACCUGCUGUGGAAACACCGAUGGUUGUGAUGACGAGAAGGAGUUUAAAGAGGAAUGACCAGCGUGAGGUGUUAGCUGAUUCUGAUAUUUGUUCAUUUGAUGGUAUUGAUCGGAGUUCCGGAACGUCUCCGGCAUGGGUGACGGUGAUUAGAAGUGGUUGUUUCCCCUCUUCAACCGUGUCCAUGUUUGGUGAUGUAGAGUGUUGAUAAUGUUUACACUGUUAAUCAGUUAUUAUAUAAUUAGUCAGAAUCAAAGUAGUUUUGAAAGAUAUAAGAUUUUGGAUAGAAUAGUAUUGAUACCAUUCUAGAUUCUUGAGUCAUCAAUAUCAGGAUUUAUUUCAUUCCAUAAAAAACAUUUAUACAAUAUACUUUUAUUCGGAAAAUUAAAGACUAAUACAUGUAGAUAUAUACUAUUUUUUUUUUGCUGAAUUCAUGUAUACUUCUUGCAGGCCGUAAAUUCAUGUAUAUGCAUGUUUUUCUAGAGUUUAGCAUUUUAACUCUUUGGUAAGAUUUUCGUUUCGUUUCUCUUUUUUUUUUUAUGGAUAACAACGAAUUUUUUGUUUGUUGGUACACAUUUUUGGGAGUUUAUUUUAAGGAUGUAAAUAAAUAACUUGAUGAAGAUUGAAGUGUUAUUCAAACACGGAUCAUCCAGUGAUAUAAACUCUAAAAACAAAAGAAGAACACAGCCACAAUGUUUAAAAUAUAAAAGAUGAAAUGAGUGUUUUUAUACAGUCAACAAAAUAUAUUUCAGAUUAGCAAACAAAGUACUGUAUUAAAAUUAGUCAUAAUGCCGCUAAUUAGCUAAAUUCGCCUCAAUAUUCUGUGGGAAACUUGCAUUUCCCGUAUCCUGCAACCAACAAAAAAAAAUACUGAACGUCACCAUAUCUUAUAUACGCAAAACAUCUUAAAGACAGAAGAGGGAUCAAGUACGUACGAGGAUGUUGCGUGACCACGUGAGCAGUCCCACCAAAAUAGCACGUGCCAUCACGACGUGCGUUUUUCUGGUAGUAACUGUUAAACGCAAACGAAGCGUGGGCCUCUAACGACUUAGGAUGAUAACACGUGGCACCAGGCUGGAUCGGACGGCAGUCAGCUCCUCCUUCUCCGCAGGCGUAAUCGAGAGCUGCCUGGAGCUUUUCCUUCGCCGCGUCUCCGUUCGACACGCACCACGUCUCUCCCUCGUGAGCCACCGGAGCCUGCUCUCUAUUCCUGUUGACCGGCGUCGACGUCGUUGCGGCGAACGGAACGGCGUACACUUUUCUCUCGUUUGGGUAAAACAGCCCGUAGUUUCUCUCCGACGUGGGUCCCGGCUUCUGGUUCUCGUUAAACAAAGCGAACAGAAACACGUUGAGCGGCUCCUUUGGUCUUAACGGCGUUCCGUUACCGUUUAACACUCUCUGCACGAGUCCGCCGUUAUACGCCGCCGCGUUGGAUUCGCUUGCACCGAUCUCGUUCCCGUCUCCCGCGGAAGGCCAACCUGUCUCCGUCACCAUCACUUUAACGUCGUUGAAUCCGACGGCGGACAUGGCUGCGUAAACGGCGUCAAGUUGAGCGUCAAAGAGACUGUUGUAUCUCAGCCCAUUACCGGAGUCUACAGUCCCGGCGUUAUCUCUGAAGAGAGCGUAGUCCAAGGAGAUUUUAUCCGCGUUCCCUGAGUAGGCGAAGAACGGGUAAGCGUUCACCAUGAGAUACGACGACGUUUUACGCAGCAAAUCAAGCAUUGGUUUAAUAACCGGUUCGACCAAAUCCGGUUUAAAAGAACCGGAAGAAGGCGGGUACGAGUUAGCUAGCGCGCUGAGAGCGAUAGGAGACGAGAUCUUGAUCGAUUUUCCGAGACUAUACUUAACCAGAGAGGCGUGAAUGUUUUUCAUCGCCAGGACGAGGUAAGGCGUCGUGUUCUUAGGAUCGACGAAGACCUCGUUACCGACGGCGAUUGCCUCUACCUCCGUCGCCGGGAAGUGUUUUCUAACGUUGUGUCGAACCCAUUUGUCGGCGAAUGAUUGGUCGGAUGCGGUUCGAGAGAGAAGCUCGUUGGGGAGACACACGACUACUUUUAUUCUUGAGUGUGCGAGGGCGGUUAGCACGUUCUUGUCGGUGUCGUAGAUUUUGAUACGGUUGAUUCCUUGUGAUUUGAGGAGGUUCACUACGUUCUCCGGCGACGGGAGAUUGUUAGCUAUUCGACCGUAGUUGACUCCGAUCAUUCCCGAACCUAUGGAAGAAAAAAAACACAAAACAUGAGAGAGUGCACAAACUCUAAUACAAAUCUAAAGAGCCGUGUGAGUAGAUGGAAGAAAAAAACUAACUUGCUUGUGUAAUGGAAAUGGUUGAGAAGAAAGAAAGAAUGAGACAAUAAGGUAGGAAGGAAACGGCCAUGAUAUUCUCUGUAAGCAUGAAACGCAUACACUAGUGUCUUUUGAUGGUUAUGAGGAGACUCUUUUGCUCCGGUGCUGAUUAAAUAGUAGUCAGGUGAAAAGAGAAGUGAGGAUGUGGGAUAACAAAUAACACGGAAGACUAGCAGAGAAAUAUUAAUAACUGAAACUGUUUUCUUUUAAGCUCUAUUUAUAGCUAAUUAGAACGUAACAUAUAAUUCAGGUAAAGAAACUUUCUAAGUUUAGUUGAUCUAUAUAGAAAAAGAUGUUAACCUGAUUAGAUUCAUGAUUUUGAAAGAAACUACAAAAAAAGAACGUGACAUUUCUUGUUUCGUCAACAAAAGACUUGGUUCUUUCUAUUUCGUUAAUUCUUAUGCGAAAUCUAUCCUCCUUUCUUUUGUGGAGAGCUCAUGACUAACUUUUUCUUCUUCAACUAAAUGUAUUUUUCUGAGUGGUUUUUAGGGCUGUUCAAUAUGGUAAAACUGAACCGUACCGAACCGAACCGAACCGAAAUAGACAAUAUGGUUUGGUUUUGGUAUAUACCAUAUAAACCGAAUGGAUAUAAUUUUAUAAAAACCGUAGGAUUUGGAUAUGGUUUGGUAUAUAACCGAUUAAACCGAAUAAACCGAACAAAACCGAUUAAAAGUAGAAACAUGUAAAUAUGUAUCUAUUUUAUAACAAUACAUGAAAAUCUAUUUGUUACAUAAGUUAAAUUUGUGUUAAUAACUAUUACCAUAAUUUUAUAGUAAUAAAAACCCUUAAUUUGUAAAACAUUUGAACUAUAACUAAAUAACAAUACAUCGCAAUUCAAACAUUUUAUUUUCUAAGUCCUUUUUUGAUCUUUUUGCUUUUUUUAGUCUUCACUAAAUUAAUAUGAAGAUUAUAAAUUUGAUGGACAAUAAUUAAUGGAAAAUUUUCAAUUGAAAAAGCAUGACUUUAAUGAACAUUAAAUAUGGAAGAGUGGAAAAACUUUUCUUUCAUGUUUUUGUUUUGUUUCAUAUUUUUAUUUUCAAAAUUUCAAGCUUUGAUUUUAGUUAUAUAUUUGAUUAUUUUAUUUGAUGGUAGAAGCAUUUUUACUUUUUUGUUCAUUUAUUUGAACAUGUAAUAUAUUUUUAAUAAAUGACGGUGUUGACAAUAUGACUCUAAAAUUCAUAUAAUAUGAUCUCAAACAAAAUAAUUAUGUUUUUUGGUAAUAAACCGAAUAAACCGAAAACAGACGGUAUAUAAACCGAACCGAACCGAAGUAAAUAUGGAUUUAGAAUGGUAGUUAUAUUUUACUAACCGAAAUACCGAAAACCAAAAAAAAACCGAACCAAAACCGAACCGAUAUCCGGAUUAAACACCCCUUUCUAUUCAAUAACGAAAACAUCAAACACGUUAAUCAUAUACUAGAAUUGACAAAUUUAUUUUCUAUCUGAUUUUUUUAACUGCUAGAUUCAAAGAAAAUCAAACAAAUAAACUUUUAUUUGGUUCAAUUCAACAAGAUUUUAAUUUGUUGUACAAACCGAAAUAUUUAAAAUUAAAUCAUUCAAACCAAACUAAGGUGAUGAUUGUUUGUUUGGUUUUUAGAUUUUGGUUUUUGGUUUUUUGUUUUUAGUUUUUGGUUUUUGGAUUUUAGAUUUUGGUUUUUAGUUUUUGGUUUUUGCUUUUAAAUAAUAUGAUUAAAAUAUAAUAAAUAGUAAAAUAUUUCUUCUGAAAAUAAUAAAAUAUAAAAUGUCAUUACCAAAACACACAUCAGCUUAUUUAGAAAAGCAAAAAAUAAUAAAAUAAUUUUACGUUUAAACAUAAAAUUAAAAAAUUAAUUAUAUGGUUAAACAUGAGUUAUAUAUAUAUACUUUCUUUUAUAAACUUGUAUAUAUAGUAUAUUUAGAAAAUCCGUACAUAUAAAGCUUUAUGUGAAAUGUGUAAACAUAAUUUUUAGUAAAAUUUACCAUAACUAUUAUAUAUAUAUAUUCAUUAAUGGUUAACUUCAAAAAAAUAAUUCUAUGUGAAUAAUUUAACUACAUAUGAAAUUAUUUUAUGAAAAAAUGAAAAUUAAAUUAUUUUUGAUAAAUAAUAUUUACAAAUUAAAAUCAAAAUUUAACGAAAAUUACAAUAUUUCUCAAAUUGUGGCAAAUAUAAUUCUACACAUAUGGUAAUAUUUAGAUUAUGAUUUUUAGAUAAUAGUUAUUUGAUUAUUUUGUAAAUAUUUGGUUCUUAUAAAUUAUUUUUAAAAAAUGUGACAUUACUAAAUAAAAAAAUAGGCUGGAACUAUAUUGUUGAGUAAAGUUCCAAAACUAUGCACAUAUAUGUACAUAUAUUUAUGUGUAUGUGAUUGUGAAUAUUACAUAGUACUGUCAUACGGUAAGCACCAAGUAGAAUAUGUAUUUUAUUUUAUUUUUGGUAAAAAGUAGAAUAUGUAUUUGCUUUAUUAUUGAUCUUUUGAGUAUUAUUUAUUAUAUUAAUAUUUAUUAAAUAAGAAUAUUUAUAAUUUCAAAAAAAAAACACAAAAUCAUCGUUAGCAUAAAACUAGAAAAACUUUGAUUUUGGCUUUUGCUUAGAAAUAGGUAGUUAUUCUAAAAACUAGUUUUCCUAAAUUUUAGGAAAUCUAAAACUUAAAAAUCUUGAUUGGAUUAAAAACGGUUUUUGGAAAAUCAAAAACCAGAAACUGUUUCAAAAUCUGCAAACAAUCAUCCUCUAAGUGUAUAAACCGAAUACGCAUGCAUAGACUGAAUCAAUGGAGGGUGGAUAAAGGGGAAUCAUAUGAAUCAGCAGUGAGGAAAAAAUCUGUAACUAAAUUUUUUGUUACGUUAUAAUGAGAUUACUUUCUCGAUAAUGCUACUAUGAUAGACAGUUCAAAUUGGUUCUAUCUGGACCGUUCGAUGGAUAUGCUCUCCAUCGAUGUGUCCAUUGCAAAAGCGCGGCGAAGCAGUUUUCAGAGUUCCAUCAAACCUUUUUAUUUAUUUAUUAGGAGUUUGUAUGCGUUCCACGAAAAAUAUUAUAUUUAUUUGGCUAAUGUUUUAUAAUCUAUUUUUAUUUUUGUAAUGUGCUUUCGUUUUUAUUUGUUAUCAAAUAUAUUUGCGACAUUGUACUAUUUUUGUUAUUAUCUUUAUGUGUGUCUUUUUUUUUAUUUAUUGAAAACACAAUCUUAUCUCAUCAAUAUAUAUACAUCUAAUUAAAGCUAACAACUUUUUUUGACUUUUGUUAGAGAUAAUAAUUUUAUGUUAGCAUGAAAAUAUUUUCAUUAUUGUAAAUGCUAUAAGUUUCUUAAAUGUUUGCUCAAAUUUUAAUAUAUAUAUAGAAAAUAUAAUUAAACUCUUUAUUAUUUUGGUUAGAUUUAACAAACAUAAUAUAGUUCUCUGUUAUUUAUUGAUAUUUAUUUCAUUUUUUCUUUUUAGAAUCACUAAUUUAAAUAAUCCUGAAAGUAAAUAUAUAAUUCACUGUUAUAAGAAAAUAUUAUAAGUUUGGUAAAUACAAUGAAACAUAAUAUAAAUUAUUACUAUUUUGAAAAAUAUAUUACUGAAUUUUAGAUAUUAUUAUAUUUAUUUAGAGACUAAGUUAACUUUAUUAUCAAAAUAACCGUUUAGAUUUUAAGAAAUAAAAUUUACUCAUUAAUUUUUGAAUUAUUUUUAAGAUUGACUAUCUUAUAUAUAGUUAAUUUAUUAUAUAUUUAGAGAAGCUUACUGUAUUUUUUAAAAAUAUUUUAUUUGUUUGAAUUUAUCCUUUAUUUAGAUCAAUCAAUGUUUAUUCACCAAAACAUGUUUAUCCUGAAACUCUAUUGUCGGCUCAUCAGAGGAUGAAGAUCAAACCUAGAUAUCGAAGUAUCCAUUCACCAGACGUUGAAGGCGACAAGGAUAAAGUGAAUGGGCCAAUCAUUUAUUAAUUUUAAUUGAAGCCCACAUCACACCUAAAUUAAAGUCCAUAAAAAAAUCAAAGGAACUAUUUUCUGUGUAGAGUUUGACACGUGGCAUGCUCUUAUUUCCCUAUUUAAUAAUCCCUCUGUUUCAUAAUACUUGAUGUUUUGGUUUAGUGUCCAAAUAUUAAGAAAACUAUAUUUUUCUUUUUUUUUUUUUUAACACAGAAAACUAUAUUUUUCUUAAAAAAAUAUUUAAAGAUAUAAUUUUAAAAUUUGUUAACCAAUUAUAAAAAAAGACUGUAAAAUCUAAUUAGUUGAACAGUUUAUAAUAAAGUUAAAAUAACUUUAAAAUCUCAAAACUUCAUGUAAAUUGAAACAAAAUAAUCCUUUUAAAACAUCAUUUAUAUUGAAACGGAAGGAGUAGUUAGGGCAUCUCCAACCACUAACUCUAUUUUAGUGUCAAAACCACACUAUUUUAGUGUAAUUUCAACACUAAAAUCAAAGUCAUCUCCAACCAUAACACUAAAUUUCACACUAAAACUAUUUUAUAAUAUUAUAUGUAUUAAGUUUUUUAUUUAUUAUUUAUUUAAUUGAAUGUUUUAGUAAUAAAAUAAGUGAAUAGUGUUUUAAUGAGAUGAAUAGUGUUUUAGUGUGGUGAAUAGUAUCACACCAAAUUUGGUGUCAAAUUUUAGUGUUACACUAAAAUAGUGUGAUUUUUGCAGUUCCAUUGGAGAGGAUUUAGUGUAAAAAUCACAUUAAAAUAGUGUUUUGCAGUCCCAUUGAAGAUGGCCUUAGAAAAGAGAAAAACCCUUGUUAUAAUAAAAUCUUUCAGUGGGAGGGGAGUUAAGAAAGUAAAAGGAAGGAUGUCUGCAACCCAGGAAGAAGACAAGAAGCCCGGAGACGGAGGAGCUCACAUCAACCUCAAGGUCAAGGGUCAGGUAAUGUGUUUUCGAUUUCAAUGUCUUCUCUAAGUUCGAUUAGGCUUUCCGCUUUCUGUGAUUCCCAAUUCUAGGGUAAAGUUAGUAACUUUCUUAUGUCCAUGCGAUUGUAAACUAUAUGCUCUAACAUAAAGUUAAAUCCUUUUUUUGAUUUUCGUUGCAAACAUGAGUAUCAGUCUUAUGUAUUGUAGUUUCCAUAGAGUUCUCUUAACCUUUAUUGGCAAAUGUAUCGAUGCUCAAGAUCAGACUCAUGUUGUUUUUUGUGUGUGUGUUAACAGGAUGGGAAUGAGGUUUUCUUUAGGAUCAAGAGAAGCACCCAGCUGAAGAAGCUCAUGAACGCUUACUGUGACAGGCAAUCCGUGGACAUGACCGCCAUUGCAUUCUUGUUUGAUGGUCGUCGUCUUCGUGCUGAGCAGACUCCCGAUGAGGUAUAUAAGCAUUCCAUCUAACUAGGCUAUUGUUAGCCUUGCAGGUUUCUAAUGCUAAAUCUUUUGUUAUUACAGCUUGACAUGGAGGACGGUGAUGAGAUCGAUGCCAUGCUCCAUCAGACUGGUGGCUGUUGCGGAGGCGUUGCUCUGUCCUGAAAACUAUCCGGAUUUAGAGUUUCAUGAUUAAGAUUUGUGUGAUAUGAAUGGUUUAAGUAGUUAGUUAUCAGCAUUAGGAUUUGCAGACUUGUUUUUUUUAUCUUGACCGUUGUCUUUAGAAAACUGAUAUGGUCAUGAUGGUUGCUAAAAGACCUUUUGGUUGAUUUCUUGGUCUUGUUCGUUUGAUAUUGUCAUCCUAAUAUCACAUGACACUAUUUGCUCUUAAUGAUGUUCUUUGAACCGAUUAUCUAAAUCUAAUUUGUAAAUCUCAAAAGGUAAACCAAUUAGAAGUGAUAAUGAAAAGCUCAUGUACAUUAAAUUGGGGAUCCUUAUCCAAAUUCCACUUAGCUUCAUCUUAACAUUCAACAUGGCGAGGAAUUUCAUUUUCAUGAAGAACAUAACAUCUUUAUCCAAAACAUGAACUUACAAAAGAAGAGAGCAAAUCUUGGGAACAAACACCAAGAAGUUUCAAAUGCAACUACCGAAGAGUUUGCUUAUUUCUGGUUAACACUGCUACUAGUCUUUUGCUGGUGAACUCUGGUUCCUUCAAGCUCCUCCUCUUGGUUUACUACAACCUAUGGCUUCAAAGAUGAGAGCAUUAACCUCCUUAAACCUUUCCUCUGACAGAGAAGCAUCCGCAAGGAGCCUACAUGCCUUCUCCUCUGUUGCUCCUUCGUAAUCCUCUUUCCUCUUGAGCACCAUAUGCCCACUUAUCUCCCACACAGCUGGGUUCACCUGCGCUUCCCACACCUCCGUGCUUAUUUCACCUAGAGCCUGUUUCUCUGCGUAACACUGCAAUUGACAUUAUUUAAACAGUUAUUCAAUGGAUCCUAAACCAGUAAUGAUCUAAAGGCUUGUCAGCUAAAGGUUAUUUAUACCUGAGGCAUCAAGAAGAUCUGCCUUCCACGAUCAGAGAUGAGAACGUUGAAAGGAACGUUGUUGUUCUGGAAGCAAAUGCAGGCAUCUGAUACAGUAUCAGAUAGGUCUUGCAUAGAGUUUCCAUCUUCAAAGAGAAGACCUCUCAUAGGGUAGCUCAGAAGAUCGGAGACUUUCACACCAUGAUCAGUAGUAAUCAUCUGCCUAGAAGCAGCUUUCUCUAAUGGGAAAGGCAUGGCCAAGUAAUAUGCCUGAAAGUGAAGAUGGUUGAUAGUGGCAAAAGCACCAAGGCUGUUGUAACCAACUCUGAAGUAAGGAUUGGCAGCCUCAGAAGCCAUGUGAAGCGCAAGCAACAUGCUUUUGUGAUCCAUCCUCUGAGGCAAGCAGUCGAGAACCCGAGGAAUCAGCAGCACAUGCCCAUACUCGAUGGGACUAACCUGUUAUAAGCAAAUAUACAAAAAUCAACCAUUUGCUAGACCAACAACCAACUAUUGAAACCAAGUCAAGCUUCUUUUACAUUGAUGGCAACAACACUGGGAGAAUUCUCAGCGAGAAGAGGCAUGCAGGGUAAGAACUGAGCUUCUUCAUAUUCACCAGCUUCGAACUGAAAGAGCAAUUCUUCUUGGCUAACUUUAGUGAAGUUGAAUUUGUUGCCAUCGAAAGACUGCAAAACCUUAUCUACACGGAACUCGGUUGGCCUCUUUAGGUGACGGCCCUCGUUAAGCUGAGCAAUAAAGCCAUACUUCCCCGGGAUGACCUAAAAACAACAAUGAGAAACACCAGAUUGGCUUCACAAGACUAAACAAGGUUAGAGAAGAGAAGAAAUGUACUUUGGUUACGCAGGCAGUGAGAUCGUAGCGAAAGAGUCCUCUUUGGUACCUAUCCUCCCACUAUAAACAUAAGAACUGAUAUGAAUUUGAUACUCAUCCAAGCAACAAAAGGACAAAACUGAGUCUCUCUUUACCUCGCCGAGGACAAGGGACUCGAGAAAAGCCACCGGAGGCUCUCUAGCUUUCUCUCCGGAGUCUUCCACUUUAUUGCAGACGUACAAAGGAAGCCUUGCCACUGAACAAAACCACAUCAAUUAGAUUAAAUCAAACAAGCAAAAAAAAAAUCAAUGAUUCAGCAAUAACGCGUACUUACUGUCAACACAACAAGCUCUGAGGCAGUUCCGUCCACAGCCGCCAACAGAACCAUCGGAAGCCUCAUUCUUUUGGUAAUUAGACACGACGGUCGGAACCCUCUUGAUUUUCAACAUUCUCAAAGAAAGACUUUCCCCACACGAAAUCAAAAGGAAACUAAAACCUAAUGGAAGAAGGAAAGAGAUGAUUUUGGGAACGGCCUCCGGCUAGAAAGAGGAGAUCGGAAGGGCUGCCGCCUUCAGACGGCAGGGCUCCGCGUCCUCCGUGCGGCGAAGGAUUAGACUCGAUUAAACAACAACCCUUGCGUCGGACAAUGUUGACGUGAGAGCUAACGCCUCGAGAUGGGCCGUAUAUAGCCGUGAUUGCUGAUGACGGAAAACGAAUGCGACCCUCAAAACAGCUGAAAUCUACGGCGGAGAGAGGGGAUACAAACUCGAGAGUUCAACGAGAAAGGAGAGAUCUUUCGAUGUAAAGUUUCCUUCUUUUUUGCCGCUGGUAGUGUGAGUUUUGGGAAAUUGAAUGGCUUUAAAUAGAAUAGCAGAUGAGUGAGCCUGAGACCAGAAACGUCACAAAUAUCUUUGUUUUUUCAUAUUAACCUUUUUAUAUUAUUAUUAUUUCAUUAUUGACAAAAAAAAAGUUUUGUCCUAUGUGACCAUGAUUUUUUUUUUUUCCAUCUAUUAUUAUUUUAUUAAUGGGUCAAGCCCAAACAACCCAAGAAACAUUAAACAUAAAACUAAAAGUCAGGAACAAAAGGCAACUUAACAUGGGCCUUAAGCCCAAACCACAGACCAUGCGGUGCCUCACAAUCCCACGCGUCCAGAAAUUCGCGAGGCCACCCACGUGUCGAAACUCACCCAUGAACGAGACACGCGUCAUCCAAACACCACAUCGUAACCCAAUCUACGAGGCUCACAUCGGAGGAGACAAAAAAUGGACAUGUGUUUCACCGGAUAACACCGGAACCAGAACCACCGCGCCCACCUUCGUCGCCUACACUCUUUGUAAUGGAGAGAUCGAUCGAGACUGUCCCGAGAUCUCAUCCAGAGCCAGUUAAACCACCACCGACGGCUUUAAAGCCACAACCAUGUCUUCCUUCUUCACCGUUCUUUUCCAAAAAUAUAAACGCCGGAUGAAACCGGCACGGAGCCAGCCGUCGACACCAAAGGAUAAGAGACGACGCCGGAGUCAGAAGCCGGCAAACGACACUGAAGGAGCCAUCGUUUCCGGAAGGAAAAACCGAUCACAGAACCAAACUCAUCUCAUCUCUAAUCUUUGGAUUUAUGAUUUGAAAGGAGUUUGAGAUCGAGAGAGUUUUUUCUCUCUAACAGAAGAGAGAGAGGUUCUCCUAUGUGACCAUGAUAUUUAUCAUUAUAUUGACUUUUUUUACUAAAUUGUAAAUAUUAUUCGAAUUAUAACAUAGCUGAACUCGAAUCUGCUGCAGUUCGUUUCAUAGAGGUUGCAAAAAGUUUUAACUUUUUUUUUUAGGAAACACAAAAAUUAGAACCAGAACAAAAAGUAUACAGAAGUUCUUAUAUAUAAAACAAAUCCAAAAUUAUUUUGUCUGCUUGCAUUAUCAUGUACGUCAAUAUGAUUUGUUAAAUUUGCAGUAAUUGAAUAGAAGCUCAAAUUGUAUGUAAAAAGAACUUGAUUCAUUAUGUGAUCAAAUUGUUUGUACACCAAAGUUCUAGUUCAAUCGAAAUGUUAUGUUGUUAGAUAUGGAGUUUUCAACACAUAAAUAAGAUGUGUGGCAAGCAACUUUUUGUUGUUGGCAAGCAACACUACCACAUGGAAUUCAUGGGAGAUGAGUUUUCUAUGAUGUCUAUUAUAGCAUGUAUGGUGAUUAGAUAUUAGUACAUAUAAACCGGAUAUAAAUUGAUUUAUAAUAGUUGGUUUAGUCGGCUUUGUACAUUUCAGAUUAAUUAAUAAAAGAUGAGAUACUUUACUCAUAUGGUAUCAGAGCCAAAACUUUAGAUCAUGGACAAAUGUUUUGAACUAGAGUAGCCUUAUUUUUCCAUAUUAUUUUUUUUUUGUUUGUCAAGGCCCACACAACGUUUUACCGAAUAUAGAAGCAGUAGAUAUCUUUUUAAUAACCACAAAAUUUGCACCACAAAAUAUUCCAAGAAAAUAUUUAUGAGGAGAAUCUCACAUUCCAGAGAAUUACGUCGAUGGUUGAGAACAAUUACCGAUAUCAUAGAAUUUUGAAAAACAGAUUAGUGGAACUAGAAUGGCUCCAACUAUUUCAACUCAGUUUGGUUGCAAAGGAGAAUCUUACGUUAACUCCGAUUCACAUAGGCCAUAGCAAAGGUACGAUCCUAGUCCCUCAAUCUAUAUUUGAUUUUUGAUUCAAAUUUCCAACUAUUUCAACUCAGCUUGCUUGAAUACUCACAUAAGGAUCCUCUUUGUGAAGAACCUCGGUAGCUCGACCACUAGGAGUGACUUAGAGCCAAGAAGUGUGUAUGUGAUCAAUUUAGAAGAAAAAAGGUUACAGAGGAUAUGUUGGGGAAGCUAUUUUCUCCGUAUGAGAUAGUGGCUAGUAUUGAUAUGCAAAGAUCCCAAGGUUUUGCUUUUGUGCACUUUUUUCAUCUAGAUGGUGCCAAGAGAGCUGCAGAGUCUGAACAUGGUAAGUUGGUAACACCUCGUUUAAACUUUAGUACAUUGUCAUUAAGAACAUAGUCACUGAUUUAUUGCAUUCAUUAUUAGGACAUUAUUAGGACCAAGAGAAUAUUUCUGAAGAGAAUCUCACAUUCCUGAAAGUGGCUACCGAUAUCAGAAAAUUUCGAAAAACAAGGUACAUGCUGGAUCAAGUGGGAGGGGGNNNNNNNNNNNNNNNNNNNNNNNNNNNNNNNNNNNNNNNNNNNNNNNNNNNNNNNNNNNNNNNNNNNNNNNNNNNNNGAGGUGCGGGGGAAGAACUAGAAUUGUAAUAGUUAGACUUUGAUGAUUCUGUUUCAAAACGAGCUUGUAACUGAAUCCGAUUUCCGAUUUAUCGAAUGAAUUAAUAUAUAAUAUUUUUUAAAAAAAAUAUUCCAAGAGCUUGAAUUUUUUUUUAUCAUGAACACAUUCACAGCGAGAAGGCAUAAUCGAAAGUUCAAUGAUCCGAUGCUUCUUGGAUUCAAUGAGAAUUAAGUCCAAGAUCUCCUCAUAACUAUUUGACACCUUUAAUUUUUCUGUGGCAAUGUCUCUGUAAUAGAUUUUCUACUAUGUAGUAACUUCAACUUUCAACAAAAAUGCUUAUCAAUAAGUCUAAGAACAUAUAAACAAAAAAAGUCAUGUAUAGAUUAAUAUUUAGUUUGAACAAAUAACAGUGCAGUAACCACUACAAGGCUCAGUAUGGGGCCUGUGAGGACAAUCCUUCGGUCGAUAUUUUGCGAACAUCUGAUAGAAAUAACAGAAUAGUUUUGGACCAUAUCUCUAUCUGGACGAUAUCUUUUGUUUUUAUGUCAAGAUUCGGAAAAUCAAAGGAAAGUAUAUAACUCUAAAACCACAUAAUUGGUAUGUGGUCCAGUACUUUUUUUUUGGCAAUCUCUACCAUAAUCGCUCCAUGCAGGAUUCUUCAGAUUAUCAUCAUCCAUCUGUGAAUAAACGCCAAACACGUGACUAAUAAAAUCUAUAAAAAAUCAUUACUUUCCAGUUGUUACAAUCAAUUCCAAAGCUCUCACAAGAGAGAGCUAGAACAUGUUAUUUGAAUGAAAUGAAACCUAAGCCCAAUAUUAUAUAUGUUAAGAGAAGUUUAUAAGCCCAAUAAAAGGCCAACAGAGAAAUGAAUUUAAAAAAAAAAAUAAGAAAGGAGAGCCAAAAGAACCCUUCUCAUCUCAGUUCAAAAGAUUUAAACAUUUAUAGAGUGUGUGUUGAGCAGUCUUGAAUGUGUGUGUGUGUCUAUACUACUACAGUGUUGAGCUGAUUCGUCUACUCUAUACUCUUCUUCUCUCAAUGUGUAUCUUCUGUUAUCUUGUUUCUGAAUGAUGCAGCCAUGAGAGCGUUUGGACCUUCUCCACACCUCCGAUGAACAUCCUUCAUCCGGUCCGCUGAUCUACAAAUCCCACUGCAGCUCCAAUCAAAAGAGGCAACACACAUGUUCCCCGCCUGCGCCUUCCACUCACAAUCUGCACUCUCUCAUUGAUCAAACUUCCAUAGUUAAAAAAAAAAAGAUAUAGGAACUUGGAUCUUUUUUACCCGUUGUACCACAACAUAGCCUACGGUCAUCUACAUGCUCCACAUCCAAUCCAAGAAACCAUGAUCCUAAAGAGACAUCCUCAUUCACAUACUUGUGUAGUACGUUUCUGUAUCCACACAGUCAAACGUAUGAGAGCGUAUUAAGCACAAAGCAGAUUAGUUUUUUUUUCUGGGGAAAGAACUCAACUUGUUUAUAGAUAUGUAAGACGCUAACUCCCUGGAGAUCGCGUAGAGCUGACCAGUGGCGUGGCGGAAGUACUUGUUACCCUCUUCUCCAAAUUUCCAGUACUCCGGCUCAUGAUAUCUCACUCCUCUUCAUAAAGAAAUGAACAUGAGACAGACAAAACAUUGUGUAAUGAGACUGAAGAAGUCUGUUGGUAAGGUGAGGAGCUCUUACUUCUGAGCAAGAACGGGUCCAGACUUCAUGCAACCAAUGUAUACUCGAGGCUUCGUACGGUAUCUUGCUAACUCUGCUCCCAGCGUGGCUGCAGAAAACGUCAGUAACAGAAGUUGAGAUGACAAUUUCAGAUAAAAGUAAAGAAUGUUUGAUUCUCUCUCUCACCUAUGUUUACAUGGACAUCAUCAUCGACUUUCACGUAGAAGUCUGCAUCCCACAACGCAAAAGCAGUGGUGAAGUAAGAUUUAGUCUUUGCUGACAGCUCUAGAUAACCUUCAACGUGAUCCUUUGUGCUCAAAAACAUUACAUAAGAAUUUUAGAAAACAGAAAGGCAUGAUGAAACCUAUCCACAACUCUCUUACCAGCCUCAAGAAGUCUCCGUGUUUACUUUCUUCAGCUUGAAUCGCUCUAUCAAGAAUCCCACCAGGAGUAGCACUGCACACGAAAAAACACUAAUAUUAUUUAUAUUACAUGAAUCAACCACGCAGAUAAAUGAUAUGUGCCAAGUUUUACCUAUGGCCUAUUACAAAACGCAUCACGAUCCCUUUCUCUUCCUCUAGCUUCUUUCUCUCCUCACCUAGGCACAUGUUCAGUUCCAGACAAUAUACUUAAGGAUGAGACCUGAGGGAUUAGAUCAAACAUACCGGAAGGCAUCCAAGUAGCACGAACCGAAUCUCUGCGCUUUCGGCUGUUAAACGCAGUGUUGAUCCCAACAACCAUCAGAUACUUUCUUUUGGUAACAGUUUCAGGAAGUUUGAACUCAUCAGAGACCGGUGAACCGUUCGUGAUGGAUUCUUGCGCGGCUCUUGCAGCCGCUAGUUCCAUUUCCAGAGUUGAGAUCGUUUUGUCUAGCGUUCUGCGUAACACACUCAUUCAAGCUCAAUGCUAAAAAAAAUAAGAAGAAGGAAAGAAGUGAAGUUUCAUAUCAGGUUUUUUUUAAUCACUUACUGAGUUACAUCAGGACUCUUGUACACUUCUCCAAGGCUUGCCUUCUGAUAAACAUGAAGAAUGCUUAAAACAAUAAUCUUUUUAGGACACUAUGAAGUUCACAUAAAAGUAGAAGACUUACUUUUGAUGAAUCACAGUCCUCUGACAUUAAGAGCAGCCGUUCAUCUGAAGCUGCAUCCCUUGAUGCAACAUUGGCUUCAGGCUCUGGCCACAUUCUAUCACAAAACACACACUUUAAUUAGGGAUCAUCUGUUUGCAUUCCACAAGAAAAUGUCGCGCAAUGGUUGAUAUUUGGUUCUGUGAGAUAAAAUGCAGCUCAGGUUAUGUACUAUAAAGUCUUCUACUUUUUUUUUUUAAAGAUAAAGUUGCAAUUUUUACAGAGCAUUGUUCUGUUUAUUACCUGUCGGAGAAGAGAGUUCCCGCGCAGAAGAAACCGAUGCAGAGUAAGAAAGUCCAUUUCUUUGAGACAAAACUCUUUGACGCCGCCGAGAGCUCUACUCCUCUAUGGUGAUGAUGCUUCAACGACAUUUUGUUGUGUUUCUAAGCGAAACCAUAUAAGGAUCUUCUUCUAUCUAUCGAUCCCAAGGAAACCCAGAAAGAAAGAAUCUCAUCAAAGAGCUACUAAAACCCCAAACCUCCUGUCUUUUUUUUUCAGAUCCAGAAAAAGAUUAUUAGAUUGAUUCCUAUGAAAAGUUUGGAGACCAAUGUAGGGAGAAGCCUAGCAAGAGAAGUCGGGGCUUUGUACUAUCAUCAUUAGUGCCGAUUGUGUGUUUGUGAUAGUUUAACUAAUAGUAUCCAUUAGUACUACCUUUAUUAGUUAAGCUUUCACUUUACAGUAAUAAAUAAUACAGUAUCAAAUGAGAUUAGACAUUACGAAGCUACCAACAUUGACCCACUCGACCAAUAAAUUGAACAACGAACAUAGUCCAAUACUCAAAAACAAUAGAAAGAAUCUCAAUUCGCAGAGUUAUGCAAUCUUUCAUCAGCAAUCUUCUUGUUAUUACAUAAAUGUGCGGGCGGGUAUUGUAAAAAUUACUCAACAUGAAAGAUGAUGAUAUGUUUGAUCCUCAAGUUUAAUCGAGUUUCCUUGUUCACAUGUUGCUGUCAUAAAAUGGCGACAAAUGGAAUCAACAUCGACCCACGUGCGCACCACGUGAACCUCAGUCGAUGCUUCGGUUUUUGGAUUAUUCGGGUUAGGAUGUUUAGGAACGGAACAUUUUUCGGAUCGGUUCGGAUCGGAUUUCUAUUUUUUUUAUAAAACCGAAGUGGAACUUUAUUUAUAUUUAAAACCAAAACAACAAAAAAAUCCCGAAAAUUUGAGUUAAACACGAAAAAAAUCUAAAAAAUAUUCAUGUAAUUCGGGUAAUUCAGAUUUUUUUUGAAUUUUUUUUAUUUAUGAAUAAUAUUUUAUAUAUACUAAAACUAAAAAUAAUUAAUAUUUUUAACAUAUUCAAAAAUUCGGGUACUCAUUUGGUUUUCGAUUCGAUCCCGGUUCAAUUUUGAUUUUUCGGGUUUAGAAAUAUAGAAACCGUUCGGAUUUUUGUAAUUUUCAAUCUGGUUUCGGUCUCGGUUUUUUUGGUUCGGUUCCGGUUUGGUUUUCGUGUUUUGGAUAAUAUGCCGAGGACUACCUCUUACACCUCACCUCUAUUUUUCCUCAUACAUAAUAUGCUUUGUUUUGGUGUAAAUACAUAAUAUGUCUGGUUAAUAGAGAAUUCUAUAAGCGUUUUUUGUUUGUUCAGCUAAGUGUCAUUUGCAGUUUGAAUAUCGCUGUCAUCGACGGUUCGAAUCGUGUGGUUCAGUGAACCCCAAGCCGUAUAAUCUUUAUUUCACGAACGUCUUUUUGUUUCUCUUACUUAAAAGUCAAAUCUUAUAAACUUUGCAUCAGUUUCAACAAUAAUAGACCUUUGUUUUAUUAUGCCAAAUUAAAUCACAUAUUAAUACAUACAUCUUAGGAAACUAAAUAUAUUUAAAGAAAUUUCUAAUAGUUCCUAUAAUGAAAAAAUUAUCUAAUGAUAUUGAAAAUAUAUAUAGACAUUCAUAUAGUUAUUAUAAAAACAUAUAAUAAUCUACAAUCUUUUUGUCUAUUCAAGAAAUCCAGUUUUCUUCAAUACUGCAUUCCUGACUUUGCUCAAGUCCCUUCCUUUCAAUUUCCUUCCAAUUCCUUCCAUAACCGAGGACGACGAUGAUGAUCGACUCCGCCGCAGAAAAUACUCUUCCGGUGAUACAUUCUCAUCAUCAUCAUCAUCCUCUGCUUUCUUUGUCUUCUUUCUGUGAACCAUUGACCACUCUGGAACAUUGACAGGAGCCGAGUGUUGUCCCAUAUGUGCCAUUCCUUCUCUGCGCUGCCUCUCUGGAAUCAUCCUAGGCUCACUCGAAAGAAAAGUUUGUGCUAGUAAAGAGGGUUUACUCGUAUGGUUGCUGAUCAUCAACGAGGGUUGAUGAUAUCCAUCAAGAACAUCCCACACAUCUUCUUCUUGAUAAUCUCCAUCUUUCAAAGAUCUCCAUACAUCAUAUCUCUUGAUGUUCUUCUCCAUUGAUAAGUACUCACCUACUUCUACAAACACAACAGAGUAACAACAUAUAAGGAUUUUUAAUUAGCAUACUCCUCUUAGCUAGCCACAAAAUAGCAAAGAGAAGAAUGUAAGAAUCUACGUACCUUAAGUUUAUUAGUUGAACCUUGGAGACUAUACUAAUAUAGUGAGAUUUAUAGAGUUGAAUCUGUGACAAGAAAAACAAUAAAAAGAGCUUGAGAAUUAGAGAAGAGAAAUGAAGAAAGUGACACAAGAGGUGUGGGAUUGAAGAUCAACACAAGGAUUGGUUCUUAUGUUGUCUUCAUAGAUAUGAUCCAAAAAAACAUGGCCAGGACCCAUAGAUUACACGUCCGGACAAUAAUAUAUCUUGCAUCAUCAAUGUUGGUGCGUUCUGUGAUAAUGAAAAGUCAAACAAAGUACACUGUCUACCAAGGCAUAUGUGAUCAAACUUACUUUGAAUGCUUCGCCACGUGAAGUAACUUAUGAUUUGAAAGUACUGGUUAUCUAUACUAUUAUUUAUAAAGUAUUUACCUUAUUUGUCAUGAUUUCUAUGAUUUUAGGUAAUUUUGUUUAUUUAUCAAGUUUUAAUUAGGUUUAAGCUGAAUCAUUAAUUUAUUAAUAGUUUUUAGUUGAGUCUAUAAUUUAUUAAUUUAAAUAUAAAUAUAAAAUAUGUAAUUAGAUAUAAUUAUUUUUAUUUUGCUUAUUAAUCAUGUUUUCCAUGAUUUUAUCCAAUUUUGCUUAUUUGUCAUGUUUUUAUUAGGUUUUAGCUUAGUCAUUGAUUUAUCAAUAAUUUUUUAGUUGAAACACUAAUUUAUUAAUUUUAAAAAAAAAUCUUAAUGAAUUUUAUAUAUAGUUAAAAACGAAUUUUGAUUUAAUAAUAUUUAAAUCUAUAUGUUAUAUUAAAAUUCUUAUUUUCUUAUUUGUCAUAUUUUAUUAGGUUUUAAGCUUUUAUAUAUGUCAUUGAUUUAUUAUUAGUUUUUAACUGAGUAUAUAUUAAUUUUCACAAAACCCGUAAUGAAUUUUAUAUAUAAUAAAACACGAAUUUUAUUUUAAUAAUAUUAAAAUAUCUGUUAUAUUAAAUAAUUUUAAAAAUUAAGAGAAUUCUUAUAUAUAUUGUGUUGCUAUCUGAAAACAAUAUUUUUAUUAUAAAGAUAAAAAAAUUAAGAUAUAUAAAAAUUUAGAAUUAAAUAUUAGUCAGACAAAAAUAUUUAUAUAACGAUAUUUUUUAAACUAUAUCUAAUAUAUGAGUGCUAAAACUUUUAACACAAUGAUAAGUACAUAGUUUGAUGAACGUUUUUUUGACAUAUAUAAAUAAUUUUAUGUUUGAUUUAACUACUUAAAAUCAUAAAUAAUAAUUUAACUUGUGAUUGAGUUCAAAACAAAUUUUCUUGCUUUUAUUUGAAACCAGUUUAAUCCGUAAAACAUUAUAGCUUCAAUUGAUGAACACUAGAAGAAUGAAAAAAUGAACAAACUAAAAAAUAAAAUUUCAUUUGAGGAAAUGAAAAAAAAAAUGAAUUUUUGUUCAAUUUGUUCCUUAUCAAAAUUGCAUAGAGAAAUUGUUUCUUAUAAAUUCAUUCUUCCAUGGGAAAUUUAGAAAAAAAAAAGUGGGAUCUACCUUUCAAUAAUUUGACUAAAAUUUCAACAUAACUUGUAUAAAUUUUGAGGAACAAAGAAUUCACCAUAUAUUUUUUCCUUCGACAUGUUCACCAACUAUAGUUUUAUUAUGCUGAUUUUUGGAUUAAUAAAACAUAAAAUAAUAAGUAUCCGCAAGAUGAUUAUGCCCGCAUGUGCGGACAAAACACCUAGUUUAUUAGUAUACGAGCCCUGUUAGAAACUACGCUAGGCGCUAGUCGGGCGGACGAGACGGGCCUAGCGAGUUAACAAUUAAUCGGGGAGUAAUCGGGGAGUAAUCGGGGCCUAGUUUUAAAUAUUUUUUUUUAUUUUUAUAAAUAUAUUAUGAAUCAUUAAUAAGUUUGCAUGACAAUAGACAAUUAUUUGAAGUAGUCUGGUGGUUAACAUAAUCUUGGCUAAUCGUAAGGACCUGGGUUCGACCUUAGAGGUACGCGAUUUUUUUCUUUUUAUUUUAUUUGCCUUUAAUGAAGGGUACUAGCGUCAUUUCGUCUUCAUCUUCUCCAACUGUGUUUAGGGUUUUCGAUUUUACAGCUUUUCCAUGGCCGUAAAACGCUUACAAUCACACAUAUCAUCGGAUUUUAGUGUGUUUUCAUGUUUUUAUACUUAAAACCUAUAGACCUGUCAUAAAAUACAAGAUUUAAGCAUUCAAAACUCAAAAAAAAAAAAAAAAAUUGUUGUUGCCGAUUUAUUGGCCGACUACAGCCAACUCGCCACGGCCAAGCACCGCCGAGCGCCUCCUCGCCGACUAAUCGCCCGUAGUACCCGCGUUUUCGAACAGGGUAUACGAGUAUCACAUGGACUAUGUUAAGGGUUAACUAUAAUAUGAAUUGUUUACAUCUAGAGACACUUUUCCACAUUCAAAUUACACUACAAGACACUUAUCACUUGAUACACACUUUCUUUUGUCAAAAAGACUUUUAUGACCCUAAACUAAAUAGAAUCUCUCUCCUCUUCUUAUUUCAUUUUAUUAUUUUUCUUAUUCUACUUUAUGUAUUUAUUUACUUUUAUCUCAAGUUAUAAAAUAUAUUAAACAAAAAUAAUUAUCAUAAUAAACUAUAUAUAAAAUUCUCUAUCUUUUAAGAUCCAUGUUCAUAUAUAUAUUAUAUAUAUUAAUGUGUAAACAAAAUGUGGAUGUGGACACCAAAGCGUGGAUAACGGAACUAUAAAUUAGUUGUGGACAUAAACAUCUGAAUAGAAUUAUAAACUAGUUGUGGAUAUAGACAAUAUUCCUUCGAUUCCAUUCAUCAUCUCGGGAUCUAAAUUCAACUCUAAUCAAAAUUACAUCCAUCCACAUCAUGACAAAGCGCAAAUUCUUUAGAUAAGAAAUCUCUGACAUGCAAAAUCUAUUAAUCUCUGACAAAAGGUAAACGCUUCUUCGAUUUUUCUCUCCGGUCAUACUCAUAAUAUCAUCUCUCUCAUCUUGAUUAAAGUUUAAUUGAAGAUAAUUUAUCAACUGAGUUGAAGAAACCAAGUGUUUGUAUUGGAGAACCCAUCUUCUUAAGGAAUAAGCUUCAUAACUCUUGAACUAUUUCCUUGAAGGAGUUUCUAGCUAAGUAAGUAUAAGAAGCAGAGUUCAUCAAGUUUUGUAGUUGAGGAGAGUGAAAGCUACCAACUUAGGAAGAUGAACUCAAGUAAGCCUUAAGGGCUUGUUGAUGUGACUAUCAAUAUAUCUGUAGAAAGAUAAUACUUUGCAGGUUUUACUAAUAAUGUCUCUGAAUUAUGUUCAUUUAGCAUUGGUCUAGAAUCUGUGAGGUUUUACUGGUAAUGUUUUUGAACUAUGUUUAUUUAACUUGUGUAGAUGGGAUGAAGAUGAAACCGACAUAUGAGUUUUCAUCUUAUGAUGAUAUGCUUGCUGCACAAGAUUUCACUCAAUGAUACAAGUUAAGAAGGCCAGAGAAUAUGCAUCGUUUUAGAAAAACUAUUAGGUGUACAAGUGAACUAUACAUGUAAGAUUUUGGGAACUUAUGCUCACGUGGACAGUGAAAAUUAUGUGUAAAUGUUUGAUAAUUAUGUGUAUACGUUUGCAAGUUUUGCUUUUUUUUGUACACAUGUAUGCUACAAUUUCUAUUGUACACAUGUACGCUCACAGAUGUGCACAAUUUUUUUGUUGUCGACAUAUGAGAUUAUGAUAGAGAUAAGAAAGUUUAUUUUUUUUUUUUGAAAUCUUGUUAUUAUCUAAAGGUCGUGUAAUUAUUGGCCCAUCAGUUCUAAAGUAUACACAUAAUUUCUAUUACACCUAGAAACACUUCUUAAAUGUGACACACUUUGUUGUGGGCCAGCAACAAAUUGUGGACAAUUUUGCCCUUAAUGAAAAAGACAGUUGUGGAUGGGUGAUUUGUGGACGAGUGAUGUGUGGUUGGGUGAUUUGUAGACGAGUGAUGUGUGGAUGAGUGAUGAGUAAUGUGUGGAUAUGAAAUGUUAAUGUGUUUAUAGUAGAUAACAUCGACAAACUCUCUGUUUUGAUUCCAUAAAACUAUACAACAAUACAUGGACAUGGACUCAUGUUACUAAAAUUAUACCAUAAACACGGACUUUGUUAUCUCCAAUACAAACAUUUGGCUUCUUCAGCUCAAUUGAUAAAUUAUCUGCAGUUAAACUUCAAUUAAGAUGAGAAAGAGUUGAUAUUGUGAGUAUGAGCAGAGAAAAAAAUCGAAGAAGUGUUUACCUUUUGUCGGAGAGUAAUAGAUCUUGCAUGUCAAAGAUUUCUGAUCUAAGGAAUUUGCGCUUUGUCAUGAUGUGGAUGGAUGUAAUUUUGAUUAGAGUUGAAUUUAGAUCCCGAGAUGAUGAAUGAAAUUGAAUGAAUAUUGUCUAUGUCCACAACUAGUUUAUAAUUUUGUUAAAAUGAUAUUAUGUGUUCACUUGAGUGUAUUAUAUAAAUAUAAACAUUUUGUGUUCACUUGAGACACUUUUUGAUAUGAGUUGAUUACAUUCAGAGACACUUUUUUAUAUGAGUUGAUUACACUCAGAGACACUUUUUCACUUUCUCUUACACUUGCAGUUAAACUUCAAUCAAGAUGAAAAAGAGAUGACAUUAUGAGUAUGACCAGAGAGAAAAAUCGAAGAAGCGUUUACCUUUUGUCAGAGAUUAAUAGAUCUUGCAUGUCAGAGAUUUCUGAUCUAAGAAAUUUACGCUUUGUCAUGAUGUGGAUGGAUGUAAUUUUGAUUAGAGUCGAAUUUAGAUCCCGAGAUGAUGAAUGGGAUCGAAGGAAUAUUGUCCAUAUCCACAAUUAGUUUAUAAUUCUGUUCAGAUGUUCAUGUCCACAACUAAUUUAUAAUUCCGUUAUCCGCGCUUUGGUGUUCUCGUGCACAUUUUGUUUACACACUAAUAUAUAUAAUAUAUAUGAACAUGGAUCUUAAAAGAUAAAAAAAUUUAUAUAUAGUUUAUUAUGACAAUUAUUUUUGUUUAAUAUAUUUUAUAACUUGAGAUAAAAGUAAAUAAAUACAUAAAGUAAAAUAAGAAAAAUAAUAAAAUGAAAUAAGAAGAAGAGAGAGAUUCUAUUUAGUUUAGGGGUUAUAAGAGUUUUUUUGACAAAAAAAAAUGUAUUUCAAGUGAUAAGUGUUUUGUAGUGUAAUUUGAAUGUGGAAAAGUGUGUAGAUGUAAAAAAUUCUUUUCUUAUUUAUUAUUAUUUAGUUAAGAUUUAGUUAGAUUUCAAUUGUUUUAUGAAUUGGAAGAGAUAAAAUGUAUAUUGGGGGGGAAGAUAAAAUGUAUGAGGAGCAUAAACUGUUUUAUAGUGUUAUUAGAAAUUGAAAGACUGUUCUAUAGUGUAAUAUUUUGAUUUGUUAAUUAAUUUGCACAUUAAAAUUAUAAAAAAAACAUCUAUUCUAAAAUGAAUUUUUUACUCUUUUUUUAUUCUACAGCAGAGUUAAAAUGAAACAGAGGAAGCAGUAGUGAUGUGAUUUGGUUUGGUCUUUAAGAACAGACAAAACUUUUAGUUUGAGAGGAACAUUUUUCGGUGGAUGUCAAUUGCUUGGGGCCCUUUUUAGUAGCCGCCAUUCAUCGAACUUUGAUACUCUUAUUUAAACAAAAAAAAAACAAUUUCAGGUUUUGGUUUUAGCUAUGCUGACCUAAUCAAUUUGAGCCAUGAUUUGUGAGAGCGACGGUUUGUAUAUUCUGGGCCUUAAUCAACAAAUAAAUUUUGCGGUCCACAAUAAAGACCAACAAGCUUUCAUAAGAAUUCGUCUAAGAGUGGGCACUGAUGAGUGAUGAGUAAGAAUAUGUGUGUUAUGUUUACGGAAGUAUGAAAUCAUGACCAAAGUACAAUACUAGAUAGCUAGGCACAACCUAAUUUACACUGUCCACCAAACAUUCCCACACAUAUCUUCUUGAAAAUCUGCAUCCCUAAAAGAUCUACAUUCCUUAUGUCUCUUGUUUGUUCUUCUCCACUGAUAGUACUCACUUGCUUCUACAAACACAGCAUAAGACUAGCAAAAAUAAUUGAUUAAUUAGACAAGAGCUCCCAACUAGUCGCAUCAUAGGAAAACUUAAAAGUGUAAGAAUCUAGGUACCUUUUGUCUAAUUUGAAGAUGAGAGAAAAUUAGUUAUCAAUAUUAUAUGAAUAUAUGGUGUUUUUAAUAUAUAAAAUUUCAAGUGGAAUCUCAGAGGAAAGAGGAAGAAAGUGACACAAGAGGUGUGGUAUUGAAGAACAACACAACAAGAUUGGUUCUUAUUUUGUCUUCAUGGAUACAAUCCAACCUAUAUAACAUUAUUAUUUCCAGUGGCGGUCACUAUCAUCAUCAUCAAUAUUGUUUUGUUCUUUGAUGAUGAAGAGUUCAACGGUCAAACAAAGCACACUACACUAGUAAUUAACACUAAUAUACUAAACCAUAUAAUGUAGCCAAUUUCACUUUUAGUUCCUUCACCAUGGGAAAUGAGAAGUAGUUUAAUCAUAAUUCGAGACUAACGAUUUAGAUAUCCCACAUGUUUUACUAAAUAAACCAAUAGUUCACAGCUUCAUCCCCUUUAAAUCCAGAUGGAAAUUUUGAGGUUUUGAACAGAAAAUGCAAAGUGACAAAUAUCAUUACAUAUAAUUCGUUUUCUACCACUUUAAUUUGAAUCUAAGCAUUAACAACAGAUUCAUAAUUAAAGUAACAGAGCCAAGAUUUUAUCUUCAAUAAGAACCCACUGUUCUUCUUCAUUCGCUUUGCUUUCCCAAAAAAAAACCUCUGUGAAAUGAUACAACAUAACCAAAGUAUAGAAGUGGCAUACACUGAUCUUCCUCUUUACGUAUUCUUUGACGCCUGUUUUUAUACAGAGAAAUACUACCCUCAUUCAUCAAGUAAACUACUUCUUGCGCAAAGACCUGGUGGCCUUUGAUGCAAAAGCCAUUGCUUUGGCUUCGUCACUGGACAUCAUCCAAUCCCUCUCAGCACGACGCUGCUGUUGCCUUGCAUUCUUUGCUCGUUUAGGGGCUAACCGUGCGUCUCUCUCCGCAAACGCUAGUCUGAACUUCUCUGCUAUCGACAGCUCACUGGAGGAGGAGGUCAAUGAUAAUGAGGAUGUUGUGGGUAUCUUCACAACUCCUCUAACAACCCACGUCUUGGGAUCAAUAUCUUUCACAAAGGGCUCGUCCAAUGCAACAUCUGGUGAUGCUUCUCGAGGAACCUCGUGUAGACUGUAAGUGAGAAACGAGGGCUUGGGGUUUACUACUAUUCUUGGACAUUCCAUUGAUAGCAUCUCCAACGAGUCCUUAUCAAUUCUUGGCUGCAGAAGAAGCAAGUUAAAGUAUAUCUUAUUAACUGGUAGCUUGUUAGUCAAGAGGGACAAUACGUACCCACACAAGCCAACGCAAUGAGUGACCGCCAUGACCAAUCUCUGUAACGUCUAGUUCUUCCCAUGUGUCUCCUUCAACAUUACUCAAGUCUGGCUUAAACAAACUCAAAGAUCUGCGUGCGGUGGACUCACUGCUUGGGCAUCCUCUGCAAUAUUAAUUUUUUUUUCUCUCAUUUGCCUGUUUUUUAUAAAGUUUGUUAGCUCCCCUAGUCAAACCCACACAGUAUGGGUUCAGUUCUAUCUCACUUUUUACCCAGCAAAAAAAAAAAAAUCACUUAAAUUCAUGAGUAAAUAGACAAGUCAUCCCAGAAAAAUCAACAGAUGAAAAGUCAGUUAAGUCCAAUUAAAGAUAAGUUUUACCCGCAUCUUAGAGUUUCCAAUGAUCGGCAGUUUUGUACAAGCUCCGAGACUCCCAUGGAUGUGAUCUUGUUGCACCGGCUGCAUUACAAAAACAAUGCAACUAUAUAUUACACGAGAUGGGCCCAAAAACACACACACACACACUUAUCCAGUGAGCAGAAGAUCCUAGCUCAAGAAUCAACAAGACCAGAACUACAAAAAAAAAUCACUAUUCCAACCGAACAGAAUCACACAUGUUUUGGUAGAUUGUCUUCUUCCCAACUUAAUGGAAGUAGAUGGUUCCAAAAAUUCGAUCAAUGGCUAAUAGCUAAGCUAAAAGAAACACACAGAGAAAGUAUUCAUGCUACCCAGCCAGCUAGUCAUCUAUUAUUAGUACCUAAUGUCCACAGCUCGGAGAGAUUUGCACAUCUCCGAGACUUUAGCUAAGCCAGAAUCCGAAACAUCUGAACCGAUAACGUCUAGAAUCUCCCAGGAAGUGUCAGCCAAAGAGAUAACCAAAUCAUCAUCCAGUAGCUUUCUUCUUUUAGCAAUGGCUGCAAUCGACAUCUGUUGCACAUGAAUAAUACGCCUUUUGAUUAGCAAUUACAUAGUAUUAACAGAUAAUACAGGUGAGAGCAAGUAAACACACAAAAGAGACUAAAGAACCUUGAUGUCGGCAGGAAAGAUGUUGGAGAUAUCAGCUAAACAAGGAAUGAUUUCUUCUAAAUGCCUCCCAACAACACCAAGACAUAAGCUGACAAGAGAUGGAGGUCCUCGUUUCAACGCAGAGAUUCCUGUGAUUUAAGCAAAAACCAGCAGACAAAUGUCAGAGAAUCCAAACACAUAAACCUCAGCUGUCAAUAAAGCUUUGCAAUUUGCAGAAACAAAGAACUAAGAGGAACGGAUUAAGAGAGAGUCGCAUAAACAAGAACGUCAGCAAGCGAGGGGGGCUUACGUGAGGAAGAAAGAUAAGCCGAAACAGGAAUCUUAUUCUUUGGUUCAUGACUCUUAUUCAAAUCCAGAUUCUUGAGCGAAGUCGGUAGCUUUCCUUCUGAAUUUCUAAUUUCCAUCAAAAUUCACCGUGAAAAUCAGAGAUCGCCGGAACUUUCGAGUUCAUAGGAUUAUUUGCGGACGGCGGACUAUAGGAAUCUCCGGUCAAAGUCAACCGAAACAAAAAAAAAACGAUUAAAUAAACCGGCAUAGCGUCGUUUGUCGGGCCUAAACAUUGUCCGAAUUCAGACAUGGGCCUUUUAUAUAAUUGUGUCGGAAACUUCUAUUACCGGUUUAGUUCAUUUCGGUUCAAUAAUCUGGUGCAAUAACUAGUCCGGUUUGUCUUUUCGCGUAUACGUUAGCGUUUCAACCGUGCUUUCUGCUACACCAUCGCCAUUUACUGAGCUCACAAAAUAUGGAUCUAUAAUGUUUUUUUGCCAAUUUUCGUCAACCAAAGAAUCAUAUAAUGUUUUCACAUUUUACAACAGUUUUUUUACCCAAAUCCAACUCGAUAAACCAAUGAAUCAAUCAAUGACUAGUAAUAGACAAACCAAACAAUAAACCCUUACUAGGUUGGAGAGGCAAAGAAUGAAGGUAUGAAACCAAAAAAGAAAAGAAAAAAAGGGAGACUCUAGUUAUGGAAACUUUGUGCCAAAGAAGCCAUUAGGAACUGCAAUGUGCAUUGGCUGAUUCGUCGGGAAAGGAGGCUGCAUAACCGGAUAUUGGGCGGGGACGCUGUACGGUUGCAGUCCACCCGUCGUGAAUGGUUGGGGAACGCAUAGCUGCAUCGGCUGACCAGCUGCAACUACACCUGCAUCACAGAUUGGUUAGGACCAAAACUUUUUUGGUUUAGUACAAACAAAUUACCUUGAUGCUUCAGGUAUUGAACAUGUUGUGCGGGUGGUAGAGGACGGGAGAGCAUAGGUGGAAGAGGCGGUGUUGCUUGAACCAGAUUCUGUAAAAAAAAGAAGAAGAAAGAAAUAUGAAGAACUUGUACAAGUGACUGACUAGUUUUAAUUCCUCUCUUACUCAGCACAUACAUUUGACAACAUGUAAGUCAUAGAUUGAUUGAACCUAAAACAUUAUCAUAAAUUCACCAAAUUGCUUAUAUCUCGAGAUACAAAAAACAAAAAAAAAAACUAAUCCUCAAGUUAUAUGCACAAAGUUCUGACCUGAGAAACUGGUUGGAGAUAUACAAGCUGGCCUGAUCUCGCAUCCAUUACCUGGAGUAUAGUAGAAGUCUUGAGAAACAUAUACACCAAGUAAAGUAACUACAGCAAAUCAAUUAUAAUACACCCCUUUUCUUUUUACAAAGUUAGUUUUCGGGGUUAUCCAUGAAAUACAACCUGAGGAUUUGGAUUUACAAACAUUGGUGAUGCUUGAACAGAUUGGUAUGGAGAGGUGAAUCCCUGCGGAUGUGCCCUAUUAACAAUAGGCCCAAUCAUCUGCACAAAAGAGAGAUGCAAAUGGAAGAAUGAUAUCAUUUAUUGCAAAAGACAUUUUAUAAAACUAACAAUGUCAAUUCAAAGAGAUCUCUAAUCUGAUCUUCUAUAAAUAUUCUCUCAACUGCAAGUUGUUAAGGCCCACUUGACAUAAUAUGCCCGAGCAAAGAUAAUAAUACUUACGUGUUGAGGAAAGUGAAAUGCACUGACAGUAUUUCCAGCAGUCAAAUUACCAUAUGGCACAAACUUGGAAUGUGGGGAUGUUUGGGGCAUAUAAGGGCUGUUUCCAACUUCUGGGUAAACAGGUUCAGGAACAGGUAGCAUGGGAGUAUUGCUUGGUAUAUAAGCAACGUUUUGAAUAUCAGGCAUAGCAGCAGGAGACGGUGAAAGACGUUUUGUAUAAGAUGGAGAAAAAUUCUCUGCCUCUGGAUUCAACUUGAACUCCUGUAAUGUAAUCAGUAUGUGGUAAAAGUUCUAAAAGUAGAAACUCAGACUAAGUUGACAGCAUAUACCAACUACUCUGAAUGUACUCUCAAAGAUCUAGGGAUGGAUAAUGAAUUUUUAAGAUCCAACAAUCAAUUUAACAUAAAUGUACACAGGAAUUACCUUAGCCUUUUUUAUGGCCUGGAUAGGUACUGGUUCAUUAGAAGAUGUCAUGAUACCCUGACACAACUCUGAGGUUUCAUCAACAGUUUCACUUCGUGAGGAUGACUUGUCAAUUGAAGAGGGCCUUUCAGCAGCAUCGUGAAAACCAUUACUUAUAGGUUCCGGCGUCAACAUAUCUUCUUUUAUUGGUUUAACUCGUUCGGACAUGUUAUCCACUGGAUGGUCGUGUUAUUUCACAUGAACGAAAGUUGGAGGAAAAGUACGUCAGAAAAAAAUUCAAUGUCCAAAAGAAGCUGAAACAAGUACACCAAUAACAAGGACGAAAACAGUUACACAGAAACUGAACUUACAGCUAGGACUUGAGCUUGGGAUAUCCUCCUGAUGAACGUCAGGAAUGUGUUCAUUACGCUUCAAAAUAUUGGCUCCUGGCUGUCUGUCAACAAGAAUCAGAGAGAAUAAAUAAAAUUAUCUAGCCAAAAUUUGAGACAUAGGUGUGUCCCAGAUAGUAAUAGACUUGUGCUAGCAUUGAUACAGUUGAUGCAGCUGCUAGACUAGAUAACUAAGAUUGACAUGGAAGUAUUAAAAAAGAAAACCGUUAACAGAAUAGCAAUACUGAGACGGAAACUGGAGUUUUCUAAAGAUCAAUACUUCAUUUCCCAGAUGAAAAUUCCUGUUUUCAUCUAUAUAAUCUAUUGCUUUCAAAGUUAAAGAGUAAAUAACAAAAUCUAGCAAGUUAAAACAGCAGAGAUAGGACUCAAGAGAGUGAUGAUUAAUCCAUGCAUAACCCUUUCACUAUUACUCUCUGUAUCAACAUGAAAACUUUAAAUGAAGCACACAGUUUACCUCCAAUGAUGAUUUCCCCUUCCUUCAAUACCAUUUUUCUUUCCAGCAGAUAAACGAGGCUUAGAAGGUAAAGUCUCCAUGGCUGAUCCAGCAAUCUCACACUCACUAUUCCCAGUAACACUUGAUGGAAGCGAGACCCCCUAAUCAAAGCAUAUCGCACAGACCCGUCACAAAACAAAGCUUUAAGAAAAAAAGUAACUAAACAAAAAAGGACACACCUCUGCAACUACUUGAACAAUGUUGGGAGACAUAAUAACAAGCGUCUCCACCACACUUCCGCUUGCAACAUUCGCUUUACUUUUCCCCUUCUUAGUCAUUUUCGCAUUCUUCAAAACAAUGCCUAAACAGAACAACAAAACAACAUACAUUCCCAUAUCAGGAAAUAGACAGCAUAACGACAAAACGAUAACAGAAAAAGUAGCUCUUCUUGAUUAAGACAAGCUUAAUUCCAUUACAGUACUUGCUUAAACUAUCGAAUCACAUUAAAACCAAACAGAAUCUUCGAUCUGAUACCAAAGAUCCAAUUCAGAUCUCUAAACUACGAGCAUUAUUAUAGCAACACAUACACACAAAAUCAAAUUCAAAAAUUCAAAUCGACGUACCAAAGCCGUUCUCGAAGGAAGCGGUGUAGAAUACUCCGGAAAACACCGAGCCGUCCUUGACGUGAACAUGAACCUGUAAUCCGACGAUGCACAUAGUCGCUAUUAAGAGCGUUUCGUUUAAUGGUGACGAUGGAGGAUUGUCGUCUUCGAGUUUUCUUGCGUGUCCCAUCCUGUUGACCCCUUCAAUGCAAAUUCAAGUCUCUAAAAUCUCUGGAAGUUUCUAAUCUAUCGCGGGCUGUUCGAAGCUAGUUUAUAUACACAAUCGUCGUACCAGAAAAUGGAAGAAGAGAUCUAGAGUUGCGAGGUAACCGGUCAAGCGGACUCUUACUUUGUAUAUGGGCCGUUAUUUUCUAAAACAUACCCGGCCCACUUUGUUAAUCUCCAACAAAUUUUAAAAAGUUAUUCCAAAACUAUCAUCUAAUGAUAUUUUUUUUUUAAAUAACACUCAAUUAUUAAAAAAAAAAAUACACCAACUUAUAAACUGCAAUCUCACCACCACUCUCUAAAUAUUAAAUCUUAAACCAUAACACACUAAACACUAAACUCUAAACUUAAAUAUUAAAUAUUUUGCUUUUUCUUUAAUAUUUGAUAAAUAUUACUUUAAAAUAUUUUCCUUUGUGAUAAUUUAUCAUGAUGUGCUAUUUGAGUUUUUUAUUUAAAAAACAAAUUUACAUACGAAUGAAAAAUUUGGUUGGAAACUAGUUGUAUUGAUUUAAUUUUAUAUUUAUUAAUUCAAGAAAUUAAAAUUCAUAAUCUCUUUAAGAUAUAGAGAAGAGCUGGUUAUUAAAUAUUUUCUCUGCAGCUGUUGAAACUCGAACCUAACACUUCUAUUCUUAGAGAAUAUCUUUUUUUUUGAUAAUUUGAGAGUAUUUGGCGGGCUCAAGUCCAACCGACUAGUCAAUUGAAAUAAACAAAAAAUUAGUGUGUUUUCAUUCUUGUUUAAACAAAAAUAAUGGUUGAAGGAAUGAAAACAGUGUGUUUGUAACCAUUAGCAAUUUAUAACCCUGUUAUAAGCAUUGAAUAAAUAAAAACAGUAAAUACAGGAAUGCUUAACUAAUAUGACACUAUGUUCUUAAGCGAUCAUUAUUUGAAACUAACCACCAGUUAAACUAAUAACUAGUUACCCGACUGAAAAUGAUACAUGUUCUGAUGAAUCUAUACUAUAGUGCUGUUCGUUUCAUAAACGCUCUAUCCAUCCAGCGCCCAGCGGCAGCGGCUAUAAAAUAUACUGUGAUAGAGACCAAAUUAACAGUGUCAAAAGCCAGAACAACCGCUAAUAGACUGCUGGAGACACGAAUAAUGAGACGCCGAUGUCGCUGAUAUUUUUCCGCGUCAGUUUUAUUCCCCGUUAGUUGCACUGCGACUGGAAAAUCAGUUAACGGUUCUUCAUCUGUGCUGUGUGUUGUUGUCAUUAAAGCUCUAAUUUUGUGAUGCUAUCGCUGCGUCCAGCGAUGAUGAAACGAACAGGGCUUAUAUAUGUUACAUUUCUUCACCAUACGUUAUCAGUAGAACCAAAUGAUUUGAAUACAAAUUGGCUCGUUGCGUUGCAUAACCAAAUCUUGAACUAAAGGGUUAGUCAUGAUAAAGAAAAACCUAAUGAACACACUAUGACUUUAGGUGAAAAAAUAUUAAAACAGGACUGGCUAUCGUUGCCUUAUAAAUUAUGUUAUAUGGGGAUGCAAGAAAACAGUGCAGAAACAAUAAAAAGAAGCAUACUGGUCAAAUGACAAACAUUUCAGUUAAAAGCACUUCAAGGAGGACACUCAACAAUUGUCACGCGAGGAAAAAAAACAAACAAAAGAAAACAAGGGGUGUAGAGAGAAUCUGAGACAUGAGCUAAUGCACAUCCACUUCAAUAACUCAAUUCACCAUUUCCAAACGGUGGUUCGUCACAGACAGCUUUCUGAAACGUCAGCUCCGAUCACGACAUACACAUCAUGCUUCACUGCAAUUAGGAAGGAAAAUAACCAAGGAAACAAGAAUCAGCGAAAGCUCGCAACACCACAAAAGAUUUUCAGGUACAAAAAACCAAAGGAUUGAUUACCUGCUGAUGCUGCUGGUAGCCACCAGGCUGCUGGUAGUUUCCAUAGCCGGCACCAGGGUAGCCACCAUAGUAGGCGUUAGGGUCCUGAGGAGGAGGCGCAUAUCCGUAACCUUCAUAUCCCUGAGGAGGAUAUCCAUAGUAUCCACCACCACCACCACCACCAUACUGAGCUUGUUCAGGUUGAGUCUGUGACAUUGGAUCAAGUCAUCAGAUGACAUAGAGUACAGAACAUAGUUAACUCGUUGCAUUGUCUUAACGGAUACAAACCUGCUUGUUGGACGGAGUGCGACCCCAUGAAAGACGAAUGCUUUGUCCGCCAAGUUGUGUUCCAUUUAACGAGUUGAGUGCUUGCUCUGCACAUCCCCUGAAAGCACACAGACAGUAGAAAAGAAAUGAGAAAACACAUUCUCAAAAUUUAAAAAACAAGCUUGUUGUCUUCACGGUCACACUACCUAUUAGCAUAUUGAACAAAUCCGCAACGUUUUCCUGCUGGUAUUUUCACAUGAACAAGUUCACCAAAUUGACCAAAAACUGACUUCAAAACAUCUUCUGUCACACUUUCAUCCAAAGCUCCAACAAAAAUCUGAUAAAGCAAAAAAAAUGACCCCUAAAUUCACAAAAUAUACGCUACAUAGAGCAGACCCAAACAAAGUACGUACCGUUGUGUUAGUUGGAUCGCCUUCUCCGGGAUUUCCUUGAGUGUUCUGAUAUGCACCUGUGCAAAUGACAGACGAGAUAGCUUAGUGGAAUAACUCAUACUUCUAUUUAUUAAAGCAAACAGACACUAACGUAAACAGGCAUAAACGACAGCAGUUGCAAGAGUAUCCAAAUCAAGAUCCAAGAAUAUCAGCAUAUAAAGCAAAAGGCAUAUGUUACAGCUUGAAGAUUAAGGUAACGAGAUUCUGAAGUUAGUAAAUAAGUAAUACAAAAAAAUCAGUAAGACUGUCCUAGGCGAAUGUUGGAUCCAACUUUGAGAAAUUGGAGAAUGGCACAAAACCUCUCUAUGGUAUCACAAGUAACUGAAAUUCCUUCCAUGGUCUGACACUCGUUACCACAAGUAAACCUCUCAAUAAAGAAGAGUGGAUAGCAUAAAUUUAGCGAACACUAACUGAAAGAAGGUAAAAAUUUGAAACACUAACUGAAAGAAGAUGAACUGAGAGGCAUGCUGGAGACUACAAAACACUCUUUAAGGGUUUCAUAAUGGAAAAAAAAAAGAAGAGCGAAAUGUAAUAAACUGUGUAAUAUGAACUUAAAGGUAGGGCUUAAUAGUAAAGAAAAGACUUGUGCUUGAUAAGUAAGGAACUGAAAAAAAAAAUUGAGACUGUAGGUAAUAAAGGUUAACUGUAAUUAACUUCUUCUGAAAACAUAACUAACUGACCUAAAUGAGGCCACGCAAUAAGGUGGUAUCAUUUUCAGCUGAAGUCAGUUCCAGGCUCCCCCAAAGAGAGCCCCUUGUUCUCCUGCUUUAAGACAACAUGAGUUUUCUUAUAAGCUUUAGGACGUUUUGGGAUAAUAAAUUCUUUAACGUGCUGAAAGGAAGGAAACUGAAGGAUAAGGACUGUAUUAAAACUUGGAUAUGUAUAGGUCUUAAGUCUUAACUAACAGAGAACAGGCUCCAUGAAUACCCCCAAGGAAAAUACAAUCAACUAACAUAGACAGUUAAAACCAAAGUUGAGUCAAACCCCAUUCAACAUAUUCAUUAGUCAUUAUCAUUCUUUAAAAACAAAACAUACCUGGUUGUUGUUGCAUUGUAAGAGGCUUCUUGUUAGCAGCUGGACCAAUACGCAUAGGCCUGGACGAGCAGUACUGACCAUUCAUCUCAGUCAUUGCCCUUAUCUGCUCACUUUCAUCCCCAAACUUCACAAACCCGUAGCCCUUGGACCGUCCAGUGGCCCUAUCAGUCACAACUUUGGCUCCCUUCACAGAGGAAUACACAACCUUGAACGUUUCGGUAAGCACGUAGUCGGUAACAUCAGGCGCCAGAUCUCCAACAAAAACCGUGUGCUCAGGCCCAUCAGACUGGCGUCUCUCUCCAGCUCCAAGCUGAGCCCAGUUCAGCCUAAAGGUCUGCUCACAGUUAGGCAUCUGAGCACCGUUGUACGUCUGGAGAAUCCUCUCAGCUGCCGCAUGGCUCACAAACUCGAUAAACCCGUAACCUUCGGUUAACCCGGUCAGCUUAUUACGGAUGACUUUAGCUUGUUGAACCUACAAGUAAUCAAAUCAAAGCUAAGAACUUUAUAAAGGAUUGAACUUUAUAUUUUCAAAAGGGGUAAAAUAGAUAUUUCAGGUUACCUCGCCGGUGAUAGAGAAUAUGCUCAUGAGGUAGCCUUCGUCCAUCCACGGCUGCAAAUCUCCGAUCCACAAGGAUUUGAUCUCUCCAGCUGAUCCUGGAUUCUGAGAUCCACCGCCGUACUGUUGACCCGGAGACGGCGCUGACUGAGGAUUCCAUGCUGCCGGCGGCUGGCCCUGUAGUUGCUGCUGCUGCAUCAUCCACGACUGAUGGUGGUGGUAAGCUUGCUGGUCCGAAGGGAUCUGACCUGAUCCUGCGGCAGCACCGUUAGCGGCGGGAGGUGGCUGCUGCAUCAUGACGGAGAAAACCUAAAAUGAGAGACGAUGACACAGUUGCUGUUUCGGACAGAGGGCAAAAGAGGGAGAAUAAAAGCUGUCUCGGUUGUCUUUUAUAGAAAGAAAUAAAUAAAAACAAAAAUAUCUGUGAUUUAGGCCUGAAAUGGGCCAAAAUACAAGAUUUCGGCCCAUUAUAAGAGUACUGGAAUAACCCGGUUAGACCAAACCGGAUAGGAGGCAUUACAGUUUCGAGUCAUGUUAUCAAAUCCUAAGCAUUGCCUGAAUUCUUAUAUGCAUGACAUAAUAAGGAUCUUCCAUAUUUUUGUCAUUUUUAUUUUCUAACCAUUUAUGCACCAAAUAUAACCAGUCUAGUCCAAUUCGAAAUUGAACCAAGAUUCAUAAACCAAAUAUUCCCCGGUUAACUGGUUGAAAGAUUUAAAGACAUAUUCACAGCUGGCAGCUCGUAAUUGGCUGGCUAGUGAUGACAACAUGACUUUUCAUCUCUUUGCUCUUAUCCUUGAAAACAAUCUAGAAACUUGAUAUUUUUCAAUGGCUGUUGUACCACUUCAGACCAAACAUACUCUACGUCGCAUCACCAAAGACAUCCCAACAAGUUACCGUCCGUCGCUUCUCCGUCUACGUUUCACGUGCUCAGUCACUACCACCACCAAGUUUCGCCCUAACCGUGAGAAGCUUGUAGUUGUGAAUCCUCCUCGCUUCACUGACACAGCUUUUCAAUCGACAUGGAGCCAUCGCUUAUGGGUUUCAGCUGGCUGCACCACCGUGUUUGUCUCUUUUGCCAAAUCUAUCACUGGAGGGUUUGGUUCAAACCUUUGGCUCGAACCAACUUUAGCCGGUUUUGCCGGUUACAUCUUAGCAGAUCUAGGCUCUGGUGUGUACCACUGGGCCACUGAUAACUACGGCGAUAAGUCAACGCCUCUAGUAGGAACCCACGUCCAAGAUUCUCUUGAUCACCACGAGUGCCCUUGGACAAUCACCGAGCGGCAAUUUGCAAACAAUCUACACUUUAUGGCUCGUGGCACAACCUUGAUGGUUCUCCCACUAGACCUUGCGUUUGAUGACCAUGUGUUUCAUGGCUUCGUAAGCACGUUUGCGUUUUGCGUAUUGUUUUGCCAGCAGUUUCAUGUUUGGGCUCAUGGAACCAAGAGCGAGCUUCCACCUCUCGUGGUGGCGUUACAGGACAUUGGACUGAUUGUUUCACGAGAAAGGCACGUGGAGCAUCACCGAGCACCGUAUAAUAAAAACUACUGCGUAGUGAGUGGGGUGUGGAACAAGGUUUUGGAUGAGAGUAAGUUCUUUGAAGCGUUGGAGAUGGUGGUGUAUCUCAAGCUCGGGGUGAAGCCAAGGUCAUGGACCAAUCCAAACUCGGAGUGGAGAGAAGAAACUGAGAUAUCUAAAUGUUAGCCGUCAUCAUUAGUUGUCGACAUGACUCUUUGAAUUAUUGGUUUAGAGUUUAAUUAGACCAGUUUUGGGUAUGAAGGGGACUAUUAAAUCUUGGGUUUAGUAACUUUAGAAAAUAAAAGUACAAAAAUUGGAGACUAUAAAUUUUCACAACUUGUACUGUGCUUGCGAUCACAAUAGCCCCAAAGCUUAAUGCACACCACAACAUUGUUUAGCUUAGUCUCUUUCUCUUUGGUUUGGUUGUUUGCACAAGAAUUUUUGAAGGAACAUACUGAAUAAAAUAUUUUCGUGAUUUAUAUGCAAUACAGAGUGAGUGUAUGGAGUAUGAAACAAAAAAUACAAAAGAGAGAAUGCACCAGUUUUAAGUAUCAGAUCCAACGAAUGAGUAAACAGAAGAGACACAGGGGAACCAGUACUGACAUUUUCCGUCUUUGCUACCAUUGUCGAUCAUUGCGAGUCCCUCCUGGAAAAAGUUAUAGAAUCACAAAGUUUCAGGACCAACAUUGGUUGCGUUGGAUUUACCAUGUGUACUAAAUCAACUGGGAAAAUGAAUAGCAGAUGCAUACCUCCAACAGAGUUUCGAGAGCAUCUAUGACCCGACCAGAUGUCCAGGAGAGACGUCUUUGUACCUCUUCCACAGUCACAAAGCCUUGACCCUGUGGGGGUGGAAAGCAACAUAAAAUCAUAAAACAUGUGAAACUUUGUCUUCUUUGUGAGGAAGAAGAAUAUAUGUAUAUGAUUAAAACCUGAGCGAGCUCCAAGAUUUGGUUAUGGUCUUUGUUGAGCUCAGUGGGGACUGAACGGACAAGCUUUUUCUUGCCAAUUGUGAUAACCUCAAAUCCGCUACCCAAUACCUAACGAAUAAAAAUCCCAAGAUAGCAGCAAGAACAAUUCAAAACUUCCUUUUUGUUUGAAAGAUCUGAAAAGAAACAUACCUUGAUCUUGCUGAUAGCACGAAGACAAUCAUCUUCGGUGACAGCUUCACGGUCUUUCUUCCUUCUCUGGCGAAGAUGGCUGCAGAGCUCUUGCAAGCUUAUCAAACCUCCAUUGAGUGACCUUGUUUGCAUGCAAACUUCAAUAAUCUGAACUCCUGUUUGAUCAAUUUGCUAUUUUUUCAGAUACAUGUUAUCCAACUUACUAACAUCACAGAAGGCAAUGUGCGAUUCCAAGUAAGAACUAUGCCUUUGUCUAUGAGCCUUUAUGCAAACAUGAACUUAAGAAGCCAUAGCUAACAAUAUAAGCAUAUAUCUUCAAACAUACCAAGUUCAUAGUAGAAGUCACCAAUACCCAGGAGCUCAGCCCAGAAGCCCUUGUUGGAAGCAAGUGGAUCCACACCAACUUUAGCACACAUUUCAUGGAACUGAGCUCUAAAGGCUGGAUUUUUACGAAUGUCAUUCUGCAACCAAUGGCAAAAAAAAAAAUGUUUCUUUUUAAUGAAACAAACAACACCAAUCCGAAAAUCAUAUAAUUAAAUAUAAAAUCAAGAGAGGAUGAUAGAAAUUUCAAGACCUUGUGUUUGCGAGCGAACUCUUCAAGCUGGGACUUGAAAGUGGCGAGCUGCUCUUUCAUCAUAUCAGUCCGUAACUUUGCCACAUUUUCUCCUAAUAACCGAUACUGAUCCUGUUUGAUUUUCAUCCAGAUAAAGAGUUAAAAGUCACAGACGAUACAUUGGAAACAAACCGAAAUAGAAUAUCAAAUCUUGUUAAAGAAGCCAAACCCGAGCAGCUGCCGCCUUUUGAAGACCUCCGAUUCCUGGUCGCCGUCGCAUCUUUCGAUCUUUGCAAUUCUCUCUGUCGAUCGAGGGGGAGGAAUGUUAUACAAUCAGAGAAGACGGCAUAUGUUUUGUCUAUUUAGUGAUUUAUUUCUUCGUCUUUCAAAAAUCAGAGUGGCGCAGCGGAAGCGUGGUGGGCCCAUAACCCACAGGUCCCAGGAUCGAAACCUGGCUCUGAUAUAUAUUUCUUUUUUUUUAUUUUAUUGAUACAGAGCCCCAUUCAAAUAUUUUCCACAAAAACAACAACCCAUUACAUAAAGAACCCAGUCUGAACCAUCCCGAAGCCCAUUAAGUGAUAUUCUUUCUUCCUAUUUAAUUUUUUUUUCCACAGUUUCUCUCACUUGAUGUCUCUCUUACCUCGUCAAAACGACAUAUAAUAUUUUUGACAAUUAGGCCUUUAUGUUUGUGAAUGUCACAAUGUUGGUGAAAGUUGUGAUUUGUGAACAACAGUACAAAAGCCAAGCUGUGUGUUUCAACAAUGUUGCAUCUCACAGUAAAGGACUUACACAAAUAUUCUUUGAAAUGAUUUGAAAGUUGGCGUAGGGGCGUGACAGUAGACUAUCACAAGCUAAAACACACAAGGAAAUAAAUCCAAACUAUAUUACACUAAGCAAAGAUUAGAUUAACACUACUAUAGAUAAAACCAUAAGGCAUGUGAUAAACACAUCCAACCACCAAAUAUAUACACCGCCCCUCUUCUCACCAACCUCCUCUUGAUAUUUGUCAUCCACAAAUAAACUAAUGUGAUUACCGACUCCUUUCCGUAUUUUAUUGAAAUUUCUAGUCACAGAACUGACCACAUAAACUUCGUUUUUAAAAGGCCCAAACUUUGAAGGUUCUGUCAGAGAAAAAAAACAAAGAGAUAAAAAGAAGAUUCAGUAAUGGCCACCUCAGGAACCGCUUCUACAUUCAGACCAUCCAUUUCAGCUUCUUCUAGAUUGACCCAUCUCAGAUCACCGCCCUUCAAAGUCCCCAACUUUACGCCUCUGCCUUCCUCUCGCUCACGUUCGUUCUCCGUCUCUUGCACCAUCGCAAAGGACCCGACUUUUCUCAUGGCAGAGGCGGAGAAGAACAAGGCAGCUGGAUCUGACCCGACCCUGUGGAAACGACCCGAUUCGUUCGGUCGGUUCGGGAAGUUCGGAGGGAAGUACGUCCCUGAAACUCUAAUGCACGCUCUCUCCGAACUCGAAACCGCUUUCUACUCGCUUGCCACCGACGAUGAUUUCCAGGUGACUAAUUUUGGUUUUUGAUCUUAUUAGAAAGUGAAAGAUCCGCGAAAUACCCUAAGGACAUCUGCGAAAUGAUUGUAAUUUUAUACAAAAAUUUAGAAACUUAAGUUCAUAAUGUUCUUCAGCAAUACAUGCAAUGCGGAAGCUUCUUAGUUCUUUUGUUUAUGAACUCUUUCUUUGUUUAGUUUGUGAUUUAAGCGUGUCAUCCUUGCGCAUAAAGUUUCAAACUUUUGUCGGAAAAUUGCUGUAAUUUGGAAGUUUCAAACAUAAAGUUUCAAACUUUUGUCGGAAAAUUGUUGUAAUUUGCCCCCAAAAAAAAAAUCUGAAACCUGUCUGCAUACUCAUAUGUUCGUAAGCAAUAAUACAUGUUUCUGCGUGAUGCAAGCUUGAAGCUUUUGAUGUCUGAUUAGUGUUUGAUGAAACUUGUAGAGGGAGUUAGCUGGGAUCUUGAAAGACUACGUGGGUAGAGAAAGUCCUCUCUACUUCGCGGAGAGGCUCACAGAGCAUUACCGCCGAGAAAACGGCGAAGGACCGCUCAUAUACCUCAAGAGGGAAGACCUGAACCAUACCGGUGCUCACAAGAUCAACAACGCCGUGGCUCAAGCCCUUCUCGCCAAGCGUUUAGGCAAGAAGAGGAUUAUCGCCGAGACAGGAGCUGGACAACACGGUGUAGCCACAGCUACCGUGUGCGCUCGUUUCGGUUUGCAGUGUAUUAUCUACAUGGGUGCUCAAGACAUGGAGAGACAGGCUCUCAACGUGUUCAGGAUGCGUCUGCUCGGUGCUGAGGUGAGGGGAGUCCACUCAGGAACGGCGACUUUGAAGGAUGCGACGUCUGAAGCUAUAAGGGAUUGGGUGACUAACGUGGAGACUACUCAUUACAUAUUGGGAUCUGUUGCGGGUCCUCAUCCUUAUCCUAUGAUGGUUAGAGACUUCCAUGCGGUGAUUGGGAAAGAGACGAGGAGACAAGCGAUGGAGAAGUGGGGAGGGAAGCCUGAUGUCUUGGUUGCUUGUGUUGGUGGUGGCUCGAAUGCUAUGGGACUGUUUCAUGAGUUUGUGGAUGAUACUGAGGUGCGUAUGAUUGGUGUGGAAGCUGCUGGGUUUGGACUGGACAGUGGCAAACACGCUGCUACGUUGACAAAAGGAGACGUUGGUGUUCUGCACGGAGCUAUGAGUUACUUGCUGCAAGAUGAUGAUGGACAAAUCAUUGAACCACACUCCAUCAGUGCUGGGUAAGUUCAAAUAUUGUUCAUGGUCUUCCUUAGUAUCCGUUUCUAAAGAUUUAAUGAUCAUGUUAAUAGAUUGGAUUACCCUGGAGUUGGACCUGAGCAUAGUUUCCUUAAAGACAUGGGACGGGCUGAAUACUACAGCGUUACCGAUGAAGAAGCCUUGGAAGGUACUUUAUUUGUCUUUAUAUGUUUCUUUGACAUGUAAUGAUAAGUUGCAUUGUUUUUGCUUACUGAUCUCCUUCGUGUGUAGCGUUUAAGAGAGUGUCUCGGUUGGAGGGAAUAAUCCCUGCUUUGGAGACGUCACAUGCAUUGGCUCAUCUCGAGAAGCUUUGUCCGACGUUACCUGAUGGUGCUAGAGUGGUGUUAAACUUCAGCGGGAGAGGUGAUAAGGAUGUUCAGACGGCCAUCAAGUAUCUUGAAGUUUAAAGAGAAGAAUACUUUUGUUUUCAGACAGUGACAUUUUGUUUUAGUUGGUUUGUUAGUUCUUGCUUCUUGGUCGGAAAACCCAAAUAGGAACAAAGUAUUAAGAAGAGAACGAAAAAAAUAAAAAUGUAUCCUAUAAAUAAAACUGUUCUAUUGAGCGUUUGAUGUUCUUAUAAGAAGUUCGAACUGUUUUGUUUUCCACUCAGCUUUAAUUUAACCUAAACAAAAAAAAACCUUAAUGCAUUAUAAACAACCAUGAUUGAAUUAUUUGAAAAGUCUACUUAAAUCUGUAAAUAAACACGAGUAUACUCACGCAUAUGUUUGAUGUCAACUCAUUGCACUUCCCUUAAACAUUGCAUUGCAGAAAUGAUGGUUUUCAGAAAUUCAAAUCACAAGACUGUCAACUUUGGUGUCAUCCUCUUCGUCCAACUAAUCAAGGUUUGACUCAUCUAGUGGAUGAUAUGGGUCGGUAUUAAUGAUACUGAUACAUUUCACAGAAACCUAGAAAAAAUGGAAUGUAUUUGGAAAUUUGAACAGAAAAAUGGUUUAAAAAAUAAACAGCAAUAGUAAUGAGUGAAGUUCUUUCGGUAUAUAGACUUAGUAUUCAUAGAAGAGAUAGGUAUAUAUUGUGGAUGAAAUUAUUAGGUUUUACGCAUAUAAUCAACUACAUAUAUGUGCAAAAUCAGAAUGUCAGCUACGAGGGAUAGUUGUAGACUUAGGAACUGAAUUGGGAUUAAGUAGUAUGCACAGUAGGUGAAUUCUCAUGCAUUCACCUAAAUACACCGAACUUGGUGUAUAUGGACAUCAAAUAAUCUUCAGAAUAGCCUAAUUUUAUACACAGAUUUCCCAUUUUAAUUCGGAAUGUAGACAAUAUAUGGCAUUUCUUGAAUAUUUGCAUUGUUGUGGUCCUGCUUUGAUAAAUUCCAAGGAGGCGUUUUCGAUCAUUCUUCGGUGUAAACCGAAAUAUCCCUUGAAAGUGUUGAAGGUUCUUGAAGAGGUGCUAUGGGAAUUUGCAAAACAGGCCUAGGAGGCACUUCAAGAGCAUCCAAGCUUCCUUC
This 45530-nucleotide long non-coding RNA is filed under the name Brassica napus (rape). RNAcentral describes it as "long non-coding RNA (BNAP_LNC003023)". The stretch from base 41703 to 41774 matches the Rfam family "tRNA". The record is from RNAcentral. Lineage: Eukaryota; Viridiplantae; Streptophyta; Magnoliopsida; Brassicales; Brassicaceae.